UUUUUUUUUUUUUUUUUGGGUUCAAGUGCAGCUCUCUGCUUACUCUGGCUGGUGGCUGCGCCUUGGCUUUGUCUUCGUAUGGAGGAUCGGUGAUUGGCCUGCUUUAUAGGCGCCGUGGGCCGUGGCGAGAAUUAGAGAGAGGCUGGGAGCAUCUGUGCCCGAUAGACACCUCUUGCCUCUUGCUCUCGAUAGUAUGGUAUGGUGGUGGUGCAAGGUCGGCAAGCAAUGGAUAUGUGCUCGAUCUGUUAGUUGCUAGCUUUAUAUCUAAACUGGCAUCUUGAAAUUGUUCGAUCGAACCAGACAAAGCUGCGUGCCUGUGUGAAUCUUUCGAUUUCUAUAAACCAAAGAAAUAUAUAUAGAGCAUAAAGUACUGUUGGUUGAUUUGUUGCAAGAGGAAAAAUACUGCUGAAUGCCUGUCAGAUUUGACAGAUGAACUCAAGUGAACAAGGACAGGGUGGGGGCUCAUGAAGAAAAAGGUUUGGCUCUGUUAUGCUUAGCUCCACAGUGUAAAGCUAAUGGUCGUUGAGGCAAUCUUUCACCGCACUGCGGAUGCUCUUGACCAUAUAUGAUCAAGGUAUCUAUAUAUACAUUAAUACAACUUGAGGAGUGAGGCCGCAUAUCGCGCAUAUACUGCGAUCAUUAUUUUCUAAAGCGAAUGGAGAUCCUAUUCGCGUGCCAAACUUGAUGGCCUCCUUUUUCUCUGGUUUGCGUAGCAGUAGCAGAAAUGCUUAUCAUCUCUCGUCUCGCAGUCGCAGUAGUAGCGUCGAACGAUUCCAUAUCAUGGAUGGAUCAUUGAACGUCUUACGUCACGUGAUGGUACUCUGAAUUCUGAUGCUGCGCUACUACCGUGGUGUAGGCCGGUGCCAUACACUGCUUUGAUGCCGUUCACACUUUAAGGGAACAUAAUUACCUCUAUUAACGCACGCGAGCUGUGCUCAUUUCACAAAUAUCGUUAGAUUCUCCAGGAAAUAUAAUUUUAUUUGAUGUUAAUAAUCUUCUUUACAAUGCAUAGGAGAAAAAAGAUCAUGAAGAUGUUGGACUCAGCAGCAGACAAUGAGUGGAUCUCACCGUUACCAGGUGACAAGACAAACCUUCAUGUUGACCCACCAAUUUCCAACCCUUGUACUACAAAACUGCCAUGUAUGGAUCGAUGAGGUACAUGCCACCAACACCAAACAUAUGGAUCAGCAAGCCACCUUUAAUUUGUAACGCCAACCCCACUGAUUUCGUCACAUCGGCUCCGGUGGCCGAACAAAACGAGUUGGCCUGGGCAAGGAAUUGAAUUUGGCCUAUGGGGUGGAAGAAGCAAUAGUGGUAUUAAUUAUGGGGAUCAAGGUUCCAACUAUUGUUGCAGAAGAAGGGGGGAGGAGACAUCACCAGUGAGCACCAACCAUAUAUGCUGAAACACUAUAUGUGGAUGGAGGUCACUAAUAAUGGCCUAGUUCAGUCAAUUGGAGGCGUGCAUCCAACAUCAGAGAUUUCCACUGCAUUGGCAUUGAUAAGUUUUUAGUUUCAAUUACUAUACCAAUGACUCCCCAUUGGUUCGACAACAACCAAGACCAAAUAUUGAAGCCCAAGAUGCCACAAUACAAUCUCCUCUUGUUUAGUGCGUUCUCAGCAAGUCGAGCUUAGCUGGUUUGGAGGCAAGGUAGUUAUGCUUAGGGGGUGUUUGGAAUACUUCGCUCCAUAUUUUUUUAGCUCCGCUCUACAGUUUCAGCUUUUACACAUUAUUCGAGAAAAAACAGUGGAGUUAUGAGAGCACCAAACGAGGUGCUCCACAAACUCUAUUUUUUUUUAAGCUGCUCCAUGGUGAAGUUUGUGGAGCAGUUCCAAAUACCUCAUAAUGUGGCUGUUUUUCUUUUCUUGUGCUAGUUGUGAUAGUUAAUGACAAAUGCUACACCUCUAGUUGUAUGGUUUUGGGGCUUUUUUAAGUUGAGCCAUGGCUCUUUUUAUUUUUUCUUCGAAUAAAAUUUAUGACAUUUUUUUUGUCGUUAAAAAAAAGACUUGAUGAAAUGAAAGAUAUUUUGACUUGUGACAACACCACUCUUCGCGAGAUGGUGGUAUAGUAAUAAUGUCGGGACGUCAGGGGGAGGUAGAGGGGGAGAGAGAGCGGGAGCAUAGACGGUUGUCAGCAGCACAACCUCGGCAGUGAUGGCGCUGGAGGUGAGGGCGGCGCUUUGCAAGUGUGGGAGCGGCAGAAGAAACGUCGUAACCGGGAGAGAGGACGGGUGGGGAGAGGAGUCGAUGAGAUAUUUUGUUGCCUGGAAGUUUGAAGCGCUGUGAGCCACUUGAUCUGGGAUCGUACGGCUGGAAUUGGACGAUGACGUGGCUGACCGAGGGACGAAAAUUGGUAUACAGAAAUAAGGAUCUAUCUAUGGUAGAUGCGCAUAGGGUCUACAUGCUGGGCAUUGCUUAUCUAUACCGUUGAAUAUGCAUCGAGAUGUGUGAAACAGUAGGGAGAAGUGUGAACACAGUUGAGAGAAGUGCAGCAGCACGAAUCUCAGAGCACAUUUGGAUGGUCCAGAUAAGCAAUGCUGAGCAUGUCAUGCUGCAUUGCAUUAUUGCUAGCUUGCUGCCGCUUUUCUCAUGGGUCAUCGGUGAGCGCAUGCAUUUUUCUUUUUCUGAGGAAUGGGUGAAAGCAUUUGUGUGGCCUCGAUCGUAGUGUACCGUGCAACGGAUAGUGCUCUCCGGCCGACCUGGUGUAGACAUGGCUUUAUUCUCAAGUCCACUCCGCUAAGGCGAGCGAUAUGAUCAGGUUUCUGCAGGGAUUAUAUUCCUUUGUCACGCAUAUCGAUCCGGACCGAAAAUUAUUUUAUUAAUAUUUUUUAUAUUCACCGGCCUUUUCUCACGGCCCACUUUAUUGUGCAAUUUUUAUAAAAUAAGAGGAGUUUGAACCUCUACUAGAAAUUUAUUAAUUUAUAGAACUAGUGUUACAAAAGCAUCUUCAGGAGGUUAGAAAGGAAAUAAGAACUAGGGAACCUAAUCUCUCCCAACAUAGUCCAACCGCCUCUAUUGCUGUCAGGACCCUAAUCGUCCGACCGCUAUCCCCACCACUUAGCCGAACUUUCUCCUCCGAACCCCCUUCUAUGUCCAUCGAAGAUGGAGAAGAAGAGGGAGAGAAGCUGGACAGAGAGGACCUGAACUUACCAUGCUGGCAAGCUCGUUGUCUUCGACGUCAGCAAGGCACCCACCGGAACCCUAGCCACGAGCACGGGCGGAAGGAAGAACACAAGAGGGGGAGGGAGACGCGUCCGAGAAGAAGAGGGUGGGCCAGCCGUGUUGCGCUGUCCGUGCGACGGUCGCGUAUUUAAAUUUCCAAAUGGUUUACCCCCUCCGAUCCACCAUUAUAUCCUCUAGUAGUUCCCACUUUAACCAGGUGAGCAAGAAAAAUUGGGUACAGAAAAAAUCGUUUGAACAAUGUCUAGUAUAGUAAGUGAACAUGGAUUAACAAUGGACAAAAAAAGUGUUUGGGAAAGUACAUAAACAGUAUUUGCUACAGUAUGAAACAUUGAACGAAAGGUGUUUGAAAAGUACGUGAACUGUGUUGGCUAAGACAUGUACUGAUGUACACAAAGCACUGUGUUGGCUAAGACAUGUACUGAUGUACACAAAGCCACAACUACAAGGGACAGGCUAGGGAUUGCAUAGAAGAGAGUUUCCUACAUAUUUGAAGACUUGAACCUCAGAGACGAUGCAUCAGUGUUCGCAGCAGCAACUACACAUGUCCCAUGCAAUGCAAAAAUGGCAUCGAGCAUUUCUGUCCUCAUGCAUUAACAUACAGGCCUUGUUUAGUUGGCAAAAUUUUUUAUUUUGGUACUGUAACACGUUCAUUUGUAUUUGAUAAUUAUUAUUCAAUCAUAAGACUCUAACUGGCCUCAAAAGAUUCGUCUCGCAAAUUACAAGCAAACUGUGUAAUUAGUUUUGAUUUUAAUGCAUGUGUCCAAAAAUUCGAUGUAACGAAGAAUCUUAAAUUUUUUUUGAACUAAACAAGGCCUAAAAUUCAGUACUGCGACCAAACUUUCAUUUUUCAAGACGAGCAUUUAUGUCAUCCUGAUUAACACGAGCUGUCUCCUUGGUUCCCCUUGCUAAAUUUUAGCCAAUUAAAAUUAUUUUAUUUAUUUUUGGGUGACUAAUGAGACUAAACUAUUUUAACUUCUUUUUAGUCAGCUUGUUUGAAACUUUAGCUACUAAAGUGACUAAAAUUUAGCUGGCUAAAAUUUAGCAAGGAGAAUCAAACAUGCCCUGAAUGUCUGAAUCUCUACCAAACUUUCAUUUCGGUCACGCAAGAAAGACUUGUUUUGUUUACGCGAUCUCACGAUUUUUUUUGGGUUUUACUGAAGUCACAGCCAUACAGGAGUACAUACAUACAUACAUACGGUGGAUGCAGAGCAUCGAUAUAUGAAUGGGAUUGGGAAUGGGAGUACAAUUUAUUUACGUUCGAGAUUAGCUAGGUUUGUCACCUGCAGGUUAUUAUUUGUACCCAUAUGAAACCAACAUGACGUCUACCAAUCCGGACUCUGGCAUGGCAUCCACACAUUCACACCACGAUCCAGCUGGGGGCCUGCUCAUGGGCGGCAGUAGGGGCGCCUGAGCUGGGCGCAGCCGCCGCCGCCCACGACGGCCUCCUCUUCCUCUUCCUCGUAGGUCUCCUCGUGGGUCUCGUACUCGAAGCGGCGGCCGCCGCCGCCGUGCCCGUGGUGGCGUCCGGCGCCGUAUGCGUACGUCUCCUCCUCGCAGCUGGACUCUUCGUAGGUUUCCUCGUAGGCCUCGUAGCGGUGGUGGGAGCCUCCGCCAUGGUGGUUCACUGCCAUCGCGUUGUUAGCCUUCAUGGGAUAGUUGUCGAAGCAGCGGCGGUUGUUGGCUGGGGCCGCGCCGCCGUCGACCUCCUUGAACGACUCCUUGUGGACAACGUGGUGCUGCAGGACGACGCCGGGCCUCUGGGCGACCUUGGUGACGUGCUCGCCGGAGUGGGUGCGGUGGUAGUUCGUGGUGGAGUGCUGUUGGCCGUAGCCAUAGCCAUUGCCAUUGCCAUUGCUGGGGCACCUGAACAUGGCUGCUGGCUACUGGUUGGCACUUGGAUCGAUCGCUAUGGCUCGGCGCUGCAUGGAUGUGCUUGAACUGGCCUUUUAUAGGCGUGCUAGCGGCUAGUGCUGAUCGAUUGGGCUGCAUAGGAUUGCAUGCCGCAUUUGUUCUGGGCUGAUAGUGGUAGGGUAGGACAGGCAUUGGAUCGGUGCGGCCUCCAUGGCUCGUAACUUUAUUCUUCAUGUCCAUUACUCAAGUGUUGGGCUAGGCAUCUCUUGUUCGACCCAUAAAUGAUAAAAAAAAGCAGCAAAGAUCAUAUUCGCACGCCAUAUUUAACGGUCCAUUUGCCCUUGUAAGAGCGUCUCCAAGAGUUUUUUUUUAAAAAAAAUAAUCUCUAAAUCAUCAUUUGAAAAAAUAAUUUGAGUAAUCGUUUUCUGUAUCUUUCUAUAGUCCAACAGCUUUGGUAUAUCUUCUCCGCACUCUAGAGACGAGUCAUCCUUGCUUUUCAUAAAUUUUUUAUAUAUCUAUUUAAAGAUGGGUAAUUUUUUUCACCAACAUCUCUCUGUUCCUGUGAAUUAGGAAAGAUAUAAAAAGCUACUUGAAGUUGCUCUAAGCCAAUAGAAAUACGGAUUGGUUCCAAUCAUAUAUAGCUUGUGUAUCCAUCAAUAACCUAAUGUUAUGGCAAAUGUUUUACCAUCCUUUCGGGAAAAGCAGUAAGUAAAUCAAAGUAACAAUGUGGUUUUUUUCCAAAAAAAAAACAUAGAGCAUCUUCAACUGUACAAAAAGUACUCCAAAAAAAUAAUUCCACAACCUUUCAAAAACAUAUUAGGAGGUAAAAGAUAACCAUGACUCGCGCUCCAAAUGCUUCUAAAAAAUGAUUUCCAAAAACUUCAUCUUCUUCUAUUCUCAUGGUUGUUGUGAGGGACUGAGGGCGAGCCAGGUCCCCGCGGUCGGCGUGGCGAGGGCGAGUCUGAGCGUGCCGUGGUGACCCGCGCGCAACGGCGAGCCCUGUUCGAACGGCUAGUGCAUCGAGGGCGAGCGCGACACGGUGGCCACUAGCGCGUCAGUGGCCAACGUACAUGCCCCAGCGGCCUACAUGGUGAGAGCGAGCGAGGAUGUUCGUUUGUCUAAAAAAGUAAUGGCUGAAAGUACUGUUCAUUCACUGAUUUAUUACGAUAGACGAUAAGCUCAAGCAAACAGCGUCUCUGUGGCUAGUGCAGCUAGUGCAAGCACGCACCCUGAAGGCUACCGUGGACAAAUCCUAGUCGGCCCCUGCCCCUCUCUAGGCCACGACACUGCAAGGGACAUACGGGUCAGGGAUUGCAUGGAAGAUAUAUAGAGUUCUAGAUUUGAAGGAUUGAAACUCAGAUGAUUCACUCGCCAGAGACUUGUUUACACGAUUUCAGAUUUGCAGUAGACAAAUACAAAAAGCAAUCGAUCGCGUCCCAAAGACACGGGCCGAUACAGCGCACGUUUUGUUUGUCAAAUUUUUUUUGACAAGUUACGUUGUUUGUCAAAUUGGUUUCAAUUUACUGAUGUCACAGGCUCACAGGGUCACACAGCCAUGUAUAUAUAGAGCACAUUCAGCUACAUACUGUGGAUACGGAGCAUCGUCGAUGCAUGAUUAAUGGGACUGGGAGUGGGAGUACGAUUUAUUUACGUACGAGAUUAGCUAGGUUCUCGUUGUCACCAGGUUGUUUGCUUAAAAUGUACCCAUGACGCACCACCAACUUCCGGACUCGCAUCGCAUCCACACGUUCACACAAAGCUACAGGUGCCUGCUGCUCACGCGCGGCAGGAGUAGCCGCGCCUGAUGACCUGGCCGCAGCUGUCGCCUCCCAAGACGACCUCCUCUUCUUCUUCUUCUUCCUCCUCUUCCUCCUCCUCAUGCUCCUCGUAGGUCUUGUACUGCUGGAAGCGGCGUUCGCCGCGCCGCCGGCGUGCCCGUGGCGGCCGGCGGCGGUUGGCGCUGUAUAUGCAUGCGUACGUGUACGUCUCGUCCUCGCAGGUCUCUUCGUGUAGGUUUUCUCAUAGGAUAGCGGUGGUGGGUUCACCGCCAUCCCGUUGUUACCCUUCAUGGAGAUGGAAUAGUUGUUGUCGAAGUAGCGGCGGUUGGCCGGUGCCUGACUGCCCACGUUGACCUCCUUGAACGACUACAUACUCCUCCCUUACAGACAACGUGAUGCUGCUGCACGGCGCCGCCGGCGACCUUGGGCUUGGGGAUGGUGGGUUGCGGCUGGCGUUGGCCGUAGCCGUUGCAGGGGAGCGCUCAACAUGGCUGCUGUGCUGCGUUACUUGUGCCGCCUUGGCAUACUUGAGAUCGCUAUGGCUUAGGCGCUGCAUAUGGAACAGCUUGAAGGUGGCUUUUUAUAGGCGCGCUUGCGCUCAUCCCGGCCAUCGAGCUUGAAUUGGCUUUUUAUGUAACCAUCUAAUGGAACUGGUUUUGACAGCGGCCCCAUGACAUCAGGACUGGUUACUAGUCCGUGUGGACAUAUGCAAAGUGGGUGUCGUUUGUGUGUGUGUGUGUGUGUGAAGACUCUUCAGGCCUUGUUUGGAUGUUGUCGGAUUCACCUCAAUCCACAUGUGUUGGAGUGUAUUGGGGUGAAAUUUAGUUCAAGUUUCACUCCAAUCCACUCCAAUACAUGUGGAUUGAUGCGAAUCCGACUACAUCCAAACAAGGCCUCAGGUGGUUUAUUAGAGCAGCGUUGCGCUGAACUUCAUGGAUGUCUCUGUACAGCGGCAGCGUGUUUAUAUAGUACAAAAAUGGAGAUAGGGUUAGCAGUUAGCAACUUAGCAUAGAAACUAGUGAGGUCCAAGUCCAAUCACCAUUUGUUAAUUACUUAAUUUGUUGUCUUAUUGGUCCUUCAUACUCACUGGAUCAUAUAUAUAACUUAGUUAUAUAUAGAUUUUAGAUCCAGCCGCCUCUAGAUAAAAAAUGUCCAAUUUGUAGAGGCGUUUGUUUUGGAAAGUAUUUUUAGAGGCAAUUUUAGAUUGAACUACUACCUCUAAAAAGGAUGUGUCUCUACAAGUGAGUUUUUUUAGAAUUUCUACAAAUCUUUUUUGUAUAGUAGAUGGUUUGGUGAAGCGGAUAUUAUAUAGAUCUAAUUUCUAAUAUUCUGAAUUCAAUGGAUCAUAUGGAAGGAAGUAGAUCAGUAGAAGAUCUAGUUAUUGUUAACGUUAAUGCAAAACUGAAUGUUCUCGAACCUUGAAAAACAGGCCAGCUUCUAACGUUGUUGACCAAGAUAGUAAAAUUGUAAUUCAGCCAUCUCGAGCCUAAUCUAGAGUGAAACCAGAACUAGCAAAGAAAAUUCAAAGCCUCCCGAAAAGAUCAGUCUACAUCUAGCUAGUACUCCUAUACUCGGGAGGGAACAACAAAAAUAGGAUUCGCAUGAUCGAUUGUGUUUAAAUCGGUCAGUAUACUAAAGCAAAGCCGAAGUUGUUAAAGCCAAAAACAAUACAUAAAACAUGAGAUACUGGUGUUUAUAAAAACAUAGAAGCCAAAUGCACAAUGCAUCAAAAGAAGAAGUCAAAGUUUAAUGGUAGGAAGCUUCCGGUUAAAUUGUCAACAAAAACCAAAGAAUAACCAAGAUAUAUACUAGUCAGUCUAACACAAAUCCAAACAUUCUAAAUGUACCAAGAAAAAAAGGUAACAAUAAACAUGCGGGCCCUUUCCUUUAUUUACUUCACGGUCUUAUUCUUUACUACAUAAUAAGGGGUGCAUCAGCAUGGCAUGCAUGCACACGCUACCACAAGUACAUGCGUACGUGUACAAUGCAUACAUAGUAGUAGGACCGUGCAGUCGUACGUGCACACACUCACACACGUACACAUACUACGUGAGAUGAUGCAUGCAUUCAGCCUUACGUAUAUAUAGCGCCCAGUGUGUCAGGCAGGGGCGCAGAGAGAGCCCUGACGAUGAUGGCAAUACGUGAUGAUGCGUGCUCAAGCGUAGUACUGGCCGGUGCACGAGUCGUAGCGCUUGCUCUCGCAGGCGUCGUACAGGCGGCGCCCACCGUGGCCAUGCCCGUGCACCUGGUGCUGCUCACGGUGUUCUUCCCCGAGCCCGAGGUAGCCACCAUGGCAUGAUCCCUCGUGCUCGGCAUGGACGACGUGGCGGUGCUGGUGGCCGCUGCCGCUGUGGCCGUGGCCGUAGUGAUGUCCUCUGCCGGCGCGCGCCAACUCGUCUACCUCCUCGUACUCCUUGCGGACGACGGCGUAGCGCUCGCCGCCGCCCUCACCGUGGCAGAACCCCGGCUCGGCGUACGGCCUCCUCGCCUCCUCCGCGCAGUAGCCGGACUCCGAGUAGUACGCCAUACUGCUGCUCUACUCAGUGGCUUUUGUUUGCUGAAACCUGACUGAUGCAGGAUAUACAUGGACAGGCCCCUGCUUUUAUAGCGUGCAAGCUCCCGACCAUGCACGCAGUGUUGCUUUGCUAAAUGACGAUCGAGCUAGCGGCGUGCAUUAGUGGAGAUGGGAAUUUGUUCUGAAAGAGAUACGUGCUCGCUCAUGCUUUCCGGCAAGCCGUGCCACCUGCCCGUUCGGAUCGAGGAUAUGGAAGAAAACUCCAGACGCAUGCAUGCAUCAUAUAUAUGACAGACUGUCAGACUGGACGACCCGUGUGAGGAAUUUUUUGUUCGAGAUAAAAAGCUUGGUGAGGCUUCCUAUGGAUUGAAGGAAAGUAGAGUGUAAAUGGAAUAACAAAAGUGAUGAUAUAGGAGGAUAUCAGCGCAGAUAUGUCCAAGCCAAGUGCAAAAAAAAAAGGUGACAGUACUCCAAAAAAAGCCCCAGCAGAUGUUUACACGAUUUACUUACAUUUGUUAAUUUGUCACUGUCAAACAGGACAGAUUUUCUGAUUAUAUUUGCUAGUAAUUCUACAUUUUAUAUUGUAGGAUAUAUAUUUUAUUUUAUUUGACAAGAACCAACACUAAAUUAACUAAAAAUUCCUAAUAUUAAUAUUUUUCCUGGAGAAUAAGAACAAAUUUAGCCGAUUGUGCUUCGGUACUCCUCCCUCAAAGAUUUGCAGGAAUUAUAGAGGAGUCCAUUAAAAUAAUUAUAUUUUUUUUGCUAAUUAUUUCCUAUUUGGGCCCCGCUUGGACCUAGCCAGUCCGUUGAGUCCAGCUCGUCCCCAAAGAAAAGUCAUCUUCACGGAACAAGACGAUGUCAUCCAUCCAUCGUCUUCCAAGUGACGGUGGGCCCCAACAGGGUUAGCUUCUCACCUAUGCCGCGAAGCCCAGCGCGCCCUUCCUGUCUCUCGUGUCGUCCUGUACAGCACGGCUAAGGGCUAAGGCUGAGCGCGCCGUGUGGGAGUCGGACAUGGAAGACUGGGUAGACUACUUCGAGAGACCCCGGAAUGGCUGUGACAACUGCAACAAGUGCGGGCACUCUGGCGUGUGCAAUCAGACUGGUGGCGCGGUGGGGCACAGGUCCUUGCUGCGGUGCCGAGGUGCUAGUGUUAGGGCUCGUUUGGUACAUCUGACAACAGCUUCACGUUGUGAGCUGUUUUUUUGCCAAAUAUUUAUUUCCAAAAAAGUUUCAUGGGUGAAGCUGUUUUUUCCCUCCUCUCACAAAGACAUAAGUUGGAUGAAGCUGAAAAAAAGUAGCUUAUUGCAACUUCUCCCUCAUUUCUCUGUCUCAACUAUGCAUGAAGUAGUUGGUGAAGCUAUUUUGUCAAACACUUUCUCCAAAACAGCUCAGCUUCAUCUAGAAAGUCACUCAUGAAGCUAUUUUCUAAAAAAAAUAAAUUUACUAGUGAAGUUGAGCUGUGCCAAACAAGCCCCUUAGUGUCACUCGGUCAGCCAGGUUCCGCUGCUCCGGAAUGUCGACACUGAGGCACCAUCUCCUUCCUCGCGACGAAUGAUGGAUUCAGGGUUGGACGGAAGGGCUGGGUCUAAGGCCUCAUUUAAUUCGCGAAAAGAAAAGAAUUUGAAUACUAUAGCAUAUUUGUAAUUAUAGUAAUUAGUGUUUCAUAGAGGUUUAGAGUGGAGUUUUUGAAACUCCAAAAAGACUAUGGUCUCUCAGCAAUACAUAUAGUAUUUAAAACAUAAAAUUUAUUGCACCUAAACACUUCAUGGCACUUUAAAACCAAAGUAUUUCAUAGAGUCAUGGUAAUUUUUUAAAACUCUGAAAAUACUUUGUAUCCAAACAGGGACUUAAUGUAUAUCCCAUCCUGUAGAAUUUAGCGAAUCAAAAAGCAAUAUUGACCCGGAUUCGUGUUCUUUUUACUUGGCAAGGCCAUGAAUUUCAGAGUUUUUAACAAUGGUCGUCCUUGGAUAUAUAUUAUUGUAAGCAUAAUAAAACAUGCACAUCAUAUAGACGAUGGUCCGCGAGAUCCACAUCACAAAUCGCAUGUUCAUCACUCCAUGUCAUGUUGGCGCAACACAGCUUUUUACAGCACGGAGAACCUGCUUUAUUCAGAUCACGAGCUUAUUUUUACGUCGUUCGUACAGGGCUGCAUGCGUACAGAGUACAUGCACGCACGCUCGCGAAGUGAGUACACACAUAUACAGUCGUCAUACAUACGUAUAUGGAGAAGACACGUACGUACGUACGUGUACGUACAUACACAUAUACGUACGUGCCUCAGGGUCCAGUCCAGGUCGUUCAGAUCAUGAUACGUGCGUCGAUCGAGCCCGCGCGAAGAAGCUGGUCAGUUGUCGGCCUUGACGACGAAGUUCUCCUUGCGCUCGUGGAACUCGCCGGUGCGGGUGUUGACGUCCUCCUCGAACUUGGACUCGCGGGCCUCGAAGUGGCCGUGGCGGCCGCCGCCGGCGCGUGAGACGCUGUCGACCUCCUCGAACUUCUCCUUGACGACGUGCUGCUGGACGCCGCCGUGGCCGCCAUGAUGGCGACCAAAGCCGGCAGGGCCGCCGGCGGCCACCGACUUCACCUCCUCCGAGCAGUAGUCCACCUCCUGGUAGUGAGCCAUUGGUGAUGCUUGGUGUUUUGUGCCUGUGCUUCGAAGCGGUUGUGAUCUGGUGAAUGUGUGUGAGAAUUGUGUGCUGGAUAUGCUAGGGCUGGGUGGGCUUUUAUAAUUAACGUACGAGCGAGAAGAAGCAUGACAGCAUGAGUGGAGUGAGGAAUAAUCUGAUCACGACUCAUGAGGGAGAAAGAUAGCUGUCAGCAACUGCUUUGUUUAUGCAACUUUCUUGCGCUUUUUAGCGUCAUCUAGAAGUAUUUGGACUAUAUUGGCCAAAAUUCGAUAAUUUUUUAUUCUUUUUUCUCCAAAAACUGCCGGCGAGACUCUGCCGCCUAAGGGGUUUUCAAAACAAAGUACUUAUAAGAAAAUAAAAGAACUUAGCGAAGGAGAGUUUGGCCAAGGUGAUAAGCCACUCAAAGCAAAAAAAAAAGAAAAAAAAAAGAAAAAAGGUGGAUCAUCUCGGGAAAUAAAAAAAAAAUUAUUUAGUUUCAGGAACAACAGGCCGAUUGCUACACGUACGGGUGGCUACUGGCUACGGGCCCUUUUAAGCGACCUAGCUCGACCAAAAAAAAGAGAGAGAGCCGCAGCCUGCUAGUACUAUGUGAGCAUUUAUAACUUCAUUAUAAAUAAUUUUAUGUCCAUUGUAUACACAGAAAAUUGAGUUGCGGCUUGUGUAAUUGUAGCCCUUGCUCGAGGCCCCUGCUCCGUUUUAACUACAACUUUUUGUAGGGUUCGUACGCAUUUAAUAAUUUUUCCUAAUAAGAAUAUCCUAAGCAGGAAAUAGCUAAUUUAAGCAUUCAGCGCGGACGGUGGGCCGGGUGGUAGGCGUGAAACAUAAGAAGUGUAGUAACGAAAAUUCAUUUGUACAUAGAUAGCGCCCUACACCUAUGUUUGCAGCAGUGAAUUCAAUCCAAGUCAAGUACGGAUAUCAGCCUGUAGUUACCAAGCAAAUCGACAAUCGGCUCACAGGUUGCCACUUAGCAUGUGAGAAUAUAUACUUGCGUCUCAGCCUGCACCGCAUCGAUCUCUCCUCAGUAGAGAUGGACACCGCUAGUCGCCAUGAUGUGAUGACAUCCUAAUAAUAAUAUUCUAACAGGACAUGCAAAAAGCAUCCGCAUGCUCCAAUCACCUUUUCGGGCAGCCAUGGCUAAAGAGCCACGGUUGGUUUUACAGUGUUGAAGAACUCUAGAGCAUCGCGCUCUAUUACUUGUUUGUCUUGUUGUACACAUAUAUAUAUACACACUAGUAAUCGGCUAGGCCGAGCCUGUUUCACUUCUCUUAUAAGUCGUAUUUUUUCUAUCAGCCAACAAUAUUUUUCUCUUACAAUAAAUCAACAAACAAUAUUUUUAGUCAUAGCUUUUCAUACCAGCAAACGAUGCAUGAUCCAACAAUCACCAUCAAGAUGGUCAAUAGCUAUCUUACCAUAUUUUUUAACUCUUAAUUACUUAUUUAGUUAAUUAGAAAGUCAAAAAAUCUGUAAAGUUAAUAUCAAAAGAGUCCUUAUGCUCCAUAGUCAUAAGUGAGCGUGCGACGGUAGUUAAGGAUCUCGGAUGGAGAAGUGUCCAAAAGAAAAGUUAUAGAUCUCAAAAAAUUAUACAACUUUAUAGUUCAUAACUUGUUUUUUUAAGUGGUUACAAUGUCCUCUAUAUGAUUCGCAAGAUUUCAUAAAAGUUAUCACCAACUAAAGCCAUAUGUUCUAUAGUCAUAAAUGAGUGGUAGUGAUAUUUAAGGAUCUUGGUAGUAGCAAUCAAAACAAAAGUUGUUGAUCUCAAAAAGUUAUGCAACUUUGUAUUUGACAACAUUUUCAUUUGAAAUCAUCUAUAUAAAACGAAAACUAUGUUUGACAUCCAUGCAUGUAAAUGUACGUUCCUUGUAUUCGUAUCUAAUGGACCAGGAUACUCUUUUUUUUCUCAUAUAAAUUCAUUUGAAAACUGAACGUUUGUCUUAAGUUUAUUUUUUUAGUUGUUGUCUGUUCAUAAUCAAAUUGAGAAUUUUGUGCAAUCUGAAAAAAUGGGUGAUCUAGUACUAAAUACAGGACGGUCCGGUUCUCUUAAAUGCAUAUGUUGAACGACUAAUUUAGAGUCCAAUUGAGAGAAUUACGUGUUCGGAAAAUUUUUCUUCCCAAAAUCAAGGAUCUGGUAUUGCGUAUAUACCAGAUUGUUCAGAUCGAGUUUGAGUCACUUUUAGUUGCAAAUUUUGAUGAAUUUGGACUCUAACUUGGAGAUGCAUCUCCCACACUAUAAUAUAAAUAUAAUGGGUCACGUCCGGUUGAGGUAUCGAUCACUCAAUAUAUACAACUUUUACUUUAUUUUGCCUUUAUCUUAUUUCUUUUACUCUCCUUUUCUCAUCCAUAGACUGUCGUACCUCCUUCAUCUCUACAAUGCUUGAAGGCAGACUGGUCUGUCAACGCUAAGAACAAGUAUUAUAAGUCCUACUCAGCAGGCUGUAACAUGAUCCACGUCAUCAAAAUCCUAUGUGGCAGAGAGAGAAAUAAAUAAAGAGAAGAAAGCCGACGUUUGCCUUACCGUCGAGCGAAUUCAUCCCUGCUAUUUUGCUAAUAUUAAAUGUUAACCGCUCAUCUCCUAGCUCGCCUUAUUGUACGUGAUGGUUUUGCUGUCUCCUAUACAGCCCGCUUGCAGCCGGUGGUCGCCGUUGCUAUUAACCUUGCUCUAAGGCAACCAAAGCGUGCUUGUCCAAACAGAGUCAUCCGGCCGGGCAAGCAUUCGUUGGUCUGUCCCGAGCUGGUCCGAUUUUUGUAGGGGUGUUGUGGCGUGGAACCAGGUGCGCCCCUCACACAGAUAGGAGAACGAUCAUGGGUCUUAUUUUUCUCCCUUUAAUUUUAAUUUCCUAUCCUUCAUAUUUUGUUCCAUUUUCUUAUAUUUUUUCUUAACAAAUCCUCAAUUGGUUUACAAUUUUCUUGUUUUACCAUUAUUAAAGUCAAACUAUCUUAAGUUUAAAUAGAUUGAUAUUAUCAAUAUGUAUAACUCUGAAUAGGUAUAUUAUCAAUAUUUAUUUAGUAUAAUAAAUAUUAGCAUAUUUUUAUAUAAAUUUGGUUAAACUUAUGAUCCUUUGACUUAGUACUAUUUUGAAAUUGUAUCUUUUUGGGGGCACAGAGAGAAUGUGCAUGGUAAUGUAGGUGGUACGGAGAAGCUUUAUUCAGGUCACGAGCUUAUUGUCGUAAUUCUUACAGAAGCUGAGUGCGUGCACGCCAGCCAAGUACGAUGACCCUGCACAAUCUUAUACGCACAUACAUACAUAAGGCACGAACGGGGGCGCGCAUGGUACGGUCGUGCGGCCGGCGGCUCAGUUAGCCCUGGCGAGGAAGCUCUCCUUGCGCUCGUGGAACUCGCCGGUGCAGGUGUUGAAGUCCUCCUCGACCCUGGUCUCGCGCACCACGACGCCGUGGCCGUGGUGACCGUGGCCGUGGUGGUGGCCGCCGGCGCGUGACACCGUGUCGACCUCCUCGAAUUUCUCCUUGACGACGUGCUGCUGGACGCCGCCGCCGUAGCGGCCGAAGCCGCCGGCCGGGGCCACCGACCUCACCUCCUCCGAGCAGUAGUCCACCUCCUGGAAGUAGGCCAUUGGUGAAUGGUGAUGCUUGGUGUUUGUUCUAGUGCCUGUGCGCAGUGCGUUCAACUGCUUGUGUGGAUUGUUGGUGUGAUGAAUGCAUGGUAACGUUCGUCGGGUGCGCUUUUAUAACGUGGAAGCACACAAGUGGAGUGAGGAAUAAUUUGCUCAUCAUCCUCAACUUGAUGAGGGAGAAAGAUACCUGUAUUGUGUGCUUGCUUACUUCGCUUUUUAGCAUUGAUCUAGAUGUAUUUGGACUGUAAUCUUGAAACGGCGACCGAUUAUUACACAUAGUUGGGUGGCUAGAGGCCUUUUUAACAGCAUUUCUUUUAUCUUGUUUUGAUGAGGUUUAAUUGUGGUUCUCUAACAACGAUGUACUUUGAGGAUAAAAUUAGCUAAUCUAGAUGAGCAUGGAACUGCCAAUGGAAAAAUAAGAAGAAAAAGUACUCCCUAUGUCUUACAAUUCUGAAUGAGAGUAGAUAUUAUGAUCAUACUGGAGCUUUUAUAUGUUCUAGAGCUGCUUGGUUGUACAGCAGUGAGUUAAAUUCCAGUGGAAAAAUAGAGGGAAACGAAUACCAGGCCCGAGAGUAAUUACUCAUCUUCAGAGUGCCAAUUUGUUCAUUUCAGAUCCUCUCCUGGUACAAUGUCACCUGUCACCGGUCAGGUAAGAAGAAUAUACUUAUCAGUUAAGUUAGGCACUUAGCCAGUGGAGUGGGGAAUAGAUACUUGCGUCUCAGCCUGCACCGCCAUUUCAUCUCUUCAUUCACUAUAGAGAAGAGAAUUGAGAUGGAGACGGACAGAAGAACCACAACUCAUGACUCAUGAGUGAUGACAUCCUUUGAUUCAAAGAAGAGAGAUGCUCAGAUGCAAAGCAGCGGGCUGCUCCGGUGCUCCCAUCUCCUUUCAGGCAGCCAUUCCUAACGAACCUACCGUUGUUUUCAUCAGGAAUCUGCUGAAGGGUUUGCAGUGCAUGCACCCAUCUAGGUUGAAAUUCAGCCGUGGCAUCCACAAGCUUGCAAAACACAAACAAAAAGCAGACUGUGGGAAACAAUUUGCAACAAUAAGUCGAUCAUCUGGGAUACUCUACGAGACUACGAUGAACAAAAUUUGCUACACCUACCACUUUCAAGACAUAUAAAUUCAUACUGUUCCAAUAGCUCAGGCUCAGUCACUCAGAUCAAGUUCUGUUUCAGAAAUAAUAAUCUUCCAUUUUGAGGAACCAAAAGCCUUUUCUACUUAGUCUCCUGGUAUUUUCUCCAGCUUCAACUUUCAAUUGGCUUUUGCUUGAACCAUCUUCUAGGCUUGAUGGCAUGUUGAAGUGCUACAUCAGUGUGGGUCAAGGCUAAUGCCUCUUCCUCUUACUGCUCUUCAGGUGCUUCUUUCGAUGUCCACUCUUGCCAUGCGAUUUGCUUGAACCGCCAUCAUCUUCCUUGUCUCCGCCAAUUAGCAUGUUCAUUCCAAGGUCGAAACCAUCCGUUAAGCCUCCUAGCCUGUUGCCAGAAUCAGAUAUCAGUUGGGGGCGUAAGUUGGAUAUUAAGACAAGCUGAAAAUCUUUUUUUUUAUCAAGACAAGCUGAAAAUCCUAAGGGAAAACCAAGGGCGGAAUAGUACUUGUAGCUGACAAAGUUGAUUGUGUAUUUACACAGGAAACAAGCAGCAGCAAAAGAUAAACCAUAUACAUACCCAUGAAGUUGUCUCCUUAUGCGCUUCUCGAUCUGCUUAUCACGUUUGGUUACAGGAGCCCGAGUGAACAACUCCUCUUCCUGCUUCUCUUGCUCCUCUCUCUGUCGCAUGUACCUCCCAAAUUCCCUGCUUUCAUCGCCCACUGUUUCCUUCCACUGUAAAUUCCAGAAAGAUUAUUUAGCAUGAAAAUAAACAGCACACAGUUUACUCUGUAUCCAAGAGAGCCUGCUAAUAAAUUCAGAUCAGAAGUUAAGCAAACCUCUUCAGGUCUGUCCGCAGCAUCGUCAAUUAUUUCUUUAAUAUAAGGAUUUUCUAUUGCCACUCGGGCUAAUGCUUUAUCUCUCCUUGAAUCUUUUUUACGACGCUUCUCUUCAUCAUCCACGCUAGUAGGCAUAAAUUUCGGAGGACGGUAAACACCAUCAGUAUCCUGAAAUAAAGUGGUUAUACAUCAGAACAGCAGAAGGUAUAGACUGAUAUGCCAUAUGAACUGAGAAAUAAACCUCACUGCUACAGAAAAUGGUGAGUUUGAAUGACAGGUAUUACUGACAAUCUCUGCAUUUAGCAAUUACAUAGAAUAUGCAAAAUUCUUAAAAGAACAACAUUUUAAAUGGGACAAAUACACAACUCAAACACAAUGCUAAAAGUGGAUUCCUUAAGGGACAGGAAGAAUUAAUGUCAGUAUCAAAUUCAGCACUAUAGGGAUGCCACCUAAAAUUCUUGAGAUGAGAAGGGAUGUUGAUUCAUUAUUGCCAGUGACAGUUAUAUUACAAAGGACAAGCUGUCGUAGCUGGAAAGAUGGGAAAAAUUGUUCAUGUGAAUGACAUUGCACUUUUUGAUAUUUGGGCUAAAACAAACUGAUAUGUUCCAAUACCGUAAGUGCAGACAAGCUAUUAAUUAAUAUAGUCCUUUCACAAAGUAUCAUGUAGGACGUUCCAGCAUGCACAAAAGGAAGCGUCUGCGAUGUAACAAGUGUAUAAAAUCAGUAAGGAAGUGAAAAGCAUCACCUGCCCAUCAGGACCAGCCUUUGUGUCCAUCAUAUCUGGGUUUGGCCUAUACUUCAGGGGGUCAUCCUCAUCUGAAUGCUCGCCCUUCCCCUUCGCCUCUGCAUUUCCUGUCUUCUCUCGUGCAAUUGCAUUGUCAGCAGCGUUGGUGAGCUUCUGAAUUUGGUACUCUGCCUUCUUGUCAAUUGGACGAAUCUACCGCACCAAAUUUAAAAGAAAGCCGUCACUUAGUUAACAACCUAUAUCAAGGCUGGAAAAUGAACAAUCAGCAUCAAAGGCACAGGCAAACCUUCUCUAGAAACAGCCUAAUCUCGACAAGGCUCCGUACAACGGGGUGUCCAUCCACCGAGAGCCCCUUGGCCUUGCGGAGCAGGUAGUAGACGAUGUCCUGGCAGUAGCCAAGGAGCAGCUGGUUCUUCGCAUCUAGGUACCCGAUCCCGUUGGCCGUCGGCAACUGGUUCUCCUUGACCUAUACACACGCGACCAGAAUUCAUUCUCCCAUCGUAUCCACAGUUUCCGGUUUAAUAAAUUGGGAGAGGGGACGGAAGCUUGGAAGGGGAAGACAUGAGUAGAUUACCUUCCGGGUGAUGGCCUCGACCUUGCCCCUGACGAGGUCCAAUCCGUCCUUCAUCUCCUUGAGAGCGGCGAGCAGCCCCGGCGCGUCGUCGCUGCAAGCAACAAACGGUCAGAUCAAAAUUCGCUUUAGGCGCUAAAGCUGGGGGAGAGGCAUCUAGAAGCUGAGCGUACCGUAUGAGGAAUUCGUCUUUGCUCUCGCCGUUGGCUUCGGCGGCUGCGGCGGCGGAUGCUGCCGCCAUGGUGGUGAGCGACUGUCCGAGAAAUAGGCGACGCCUAGCGACGCGGCUGCGUCACGGGAAGAGCAAGCGUGAUACGUUACGGCGUAGUGCGUGGCGGGGACUCCAGCAAGCUGCCGACGGAGAGGUACGAAUCGUGGUGGCGGAGGCGGCGCUCGGGGGUUUAGCCGUUUAGGGAGAGGGAGGGCUCGGUGGUAGACUGGCAAAUUGGCAAGGCUGGUGCCUGGUAGGGCAGCGAGGUGGGUUGGCUGGCUCCGAUGUUGGGCUGUCCGGUAGAGGUGGGCUUUCAUUGAGGAUAUAUCAUUUCCUCAUGGGCUUUUUUUUUACAAAGAAAUUGGACUGGGUUUCUUUAAUAAUAAUUAAAUGGCUAGUCUACCUCCUAAACUGUCACCCCUCUAAUUUGCGUCCACAAACUUCAAAACCAUAUAUUUUAUCCCCUGAACUCUUAAGACCAUUCAGUUCUCCUCCCUAUCUGGUUUGGAGUGGUUUUGAAAACGAUUUCAUCCUUUUCUAAGUAAAAAAAAUCAGUUAAUACUCGAUAAGAAUUUUAAACCACAGAAAAUGUUUCUAAGCUUUUAAAAAACUAGAGAUAAACUAAAAAUCCAAAUAAAAUAUUUAGACCUUAUGAAAAUAUAUCUAGAUGCUAUAAAUUAGAUUUAUCUAUAGGAAAAUGAGAAUUAGAAAAAUCUUAAACCUCCUAAAACAUUGUAUUUGAUAUGUAAACAUGUUUUGAAAACUUUUCAUGACAAAAAGACAUAAUACAAAACCACCACAGAUGCAUGUUGCAUCUGUACUGGUUUUAUCUCAUUUUUUAUGUAAAGUUUUUCAAACAUGUUUUUACAUUGAUUAUAAUGUUUUGGAAAAAUUCUUGAUUUUCCUAAAUAUUUUCUCAUUUUUCUAAGAGCUAAACCUAUUUUUAAAGUUUCACAAUAUGUUUUCACGAGCUUUAAAUGUUUUAUUUUGAUUUGACGUAUCUCAAAUAUCUCUAGAAAUUUUGGAAAUUUUAAGAGGUUAGAGGCAUUUAUGUGGUCUAAAAACUUUAUCAAGUAUUUAUUGGAUCUUUUUAUAAUUUAAUAACUAAAAAAGGAUGAAACCACCUUCAAACCACACCAAAUCAAGACAGCGAGAUAGCUUGAACAGUUUUAAGAGUUCAAUGGUGUAUGGAGGUUAAGGAGAAAAAUUAGACUACGGUGAAAGAUACAUGUACCUUUUUUCUUCUCUCACCUCUUUUUGCCUUUUUUCGAGAAUGUGGAGACUCAACUUCCACGUUCAUUUUCUGUAGGGUUUUCGUCUUUAUUUUGAUUUUGAUUGAGAGGCUAUUCAAUUAUUUUACUAAGGUCUUGUUUAGUUACUUUUUUUUUUGCAAAAUGAACACGGUAGCAUUUUUGUUUGUAUUUUACAAAUAUUGUCCAAUCAUAAACUAAGCUCAAAAGAUUCGUCUCUAAAAUUACAGGCAAACUAUACAAUUAGUUAUUUUUUUAUUUGUAUUUAAUGCUUCAUGCAUGUGCAAUUUUCGAUGUGAUGGAGACUUUAAAAAUUUUUGCAAAAUUUCUCAAAAACUAAACAAGGCCUAAAGGGAAACCCAAAAAUCCUUGGGUGAAUACUGAAGAGCUAUGUUCUUACCUGUGUUCAUCUAAGCAUGAAAAAACACUGUUAACCAAAUUCACGAUGAACUUACGGUCCACAAGAUCAUCAGAAACGUAAGAGAAGACCAACAAGCUAUAAAAUACUCCUCAGCGAAAUACGGUCAUUCCUGGACGCAGGUGGUAACUGUAUAAGGAAGUUAUACACAACAGCCACGACACACACGACACAGCGCGCAAAUUCUACAGACAUCGACGUGCUCCUGAGCUUUGACAAUGGUCGCUUCGCCAACCGAAAAUUAGGUAAUGAACUGGUUUGAUGGGAAACAAAUAUAGCCUGUCAAUUAAACCAACACUAUUCAAAACACACCAAUUGAUAGGUCAGCGAAACAUCCAUUUGUUCACUACUCAAAAUACACCAAUAGAUCGGGUAAUGAACAAUCCAUUUGUUCAGUAACACCGCACACCAAUAGUGGGCAACAAAAACUCCAUUUUCUCAGUAACUCCACAAGUCCAGUACAAGUAUACAGCCGAGUUUAAACGACCACAGGGACUCCAGUCCAACAAGAAAAAGGGUCCUUCCAAAAGAAAAUGCAUAGGCUGUUGCUAGGUAGUUGAUAAAUUUUGAUAUUUCAUAUGAGAAGGUUCAUAGCUCCAGGUAUUGUAGCGAAAAUUGACUUUGUUGUCAAUCCUAGUAAGGGGAAUUUCUCAGAAAUUUCCCAAAGAAUGCACUUAAUGCCUAGUAGUUUACAAAUAGAAGUCCCAAACUUCUUUUGCACCCAUCAAUAUGGCCUUCUCCCUCCUCCUAAAGGAAAGGUAUUUGAUCCAGACAUAUGACCCCGGUUACCAAACCCACCUCUGCCUCUCGACCGGAAAUUGCCUGAACACAAAACCCACAUAAGUUAAUAUGCAGGUGAAGGCAGAUAUGAUGCGCCCAGAACAUGCAAUAGUGUUCUCCAUGAAUAAAUAAACUGUAAAGUUCAUAACUACCUCCUCCCCCUGAGUUUGAAGACUUGGACAUGGAUUCUAGUGCAGGAUUCACAGCUUGUCCAGCUUCCCGCAGAAUCUUCACUAGAUUCCUUGAGAACUUAGCAUUUGCAUGUGUGAAAAAAGUAAAUGCAGUUCCGCUAGCACCAGCACGGCCAGUUCGACCUAUCCUGUGAAUAUAAUCUUCAAGAGUUGUUGGAAAAUCAUAAUUUAUCACACACUUUAUGUCCUUCACGUCUGCAAAAUCAACAGAUACUAUCAGUACUUAAACAAAGUUGAUGUGUUGUCCUGAAUACCAUGCUGGACCACAUUGGAACAUCAACAUUGUCGAUCUCCAUAAAAGGCAGUACAUGGUUUAGACAAGCACCAAAAAAAUCCACAGUGCUGACUUUCUGAAUUCUAAAACACAAGUCGAAGGAGCUGAAAAACUGAACCGGGCAUCAAUCACUGCUGGAUGUGGAAUUGAUGGUGAUUAACCUCUCAGCCUUUAUCAGAAAAUGUUGAAGACUGCAACUGGCAUGCCUGGGUAACCACUUAUAUCCAAUAAUGUAACAGCAUCCAAUAUCCAUAACCCAAACAAAAUUCGGUAAACAUGCCAGUCCAACAUAGGCUGUAAUGAUUAAGGUGCUGCAUCAGAGGUCACUAUCGUAAAUCCACUGAAACAAACGCUGAUUACAACCAUCUUUUGACCAGUUCGCACUUGGCAGUGAUACCGAUGAUGAGGCACUUGAUUGAGAAAGUAGAACGAGCUUCUAAAGGUUCAUGUAAAGCCAGGGGAAAGCAAAGGAGGUCCAUACAGACAUGCUACUUGUGAAUGAUGUGCAUUAUAAAAAAAAAUAAUAAAAAUAAUAAUAAAAAGUAUUGCCGUUUUUAUACACAGGUUUUUAUCCUAAAAUUUUGCAAUACAUCUGCAAGAAAAAAAGCAUUGCUCUCAUCAAUUCUAAAUGAAUUAAACGUGUAAGCCACAAAGUACUUGCAAGAAAAGCAGACUGGAUUGAAACGAAUUCAAUUGCAAGGGCAAAGAAGCAAUGAAGAGGGCAGCAACACCAUACCUAGAUGCAGGGAUUGAGGAAUUCAAAUCAAGUUAAGAAAUUAGCUAUGUAGUACCAAAUGCAUAUACAUUUGCAUGCUACUUUUUCAGGAUAUCCAUUUUAUCCAAACGUAGGGCUCCCUAAAAGGGCUAACUAUGAAAGGAAACGUUACCAUGGUAGCUCAAAGUUGAAGUGCCUCGUAACACUGCCAAUGCUCACGCUCAAAUGAGGUAAACCACGGGGGAAAAUUAUCUACCUUUGACAUGAUGGCACCUUGGUAUACACCACCAAUCCACAAGUUCAGUUCACUCAACCAAACGCAGCUGAACAGCCCUCCGACUUAUCAUCCUUGAGCACUUGGAACUACUACCUAAUCCUAAUAUUCAAAUAAAUAUCAUACCAAGACCACGUGCUGCCACAUCUGUAGCAGCCAUUAUGGGACUCUUGCCGCUCUUAAACUCUGCAAGAACAUAGUCCCGUUCAGCUUGAGCUUUAUCACCAUGUAUAGAUAAUGCCGGCCACCCAUCCAUUCUAAGUUGCCGUGUGAUCUUAUCGCAGUCCUUUUUUGUUUGGAAGAAUAUCAAGAUACGGCUUCCGUCCAUUAGAUCAGACAAGAGCUUACUGAGUCUGUGGGAAAGAGGUGAAAAUCAACUCACACCAUGUCCAUUUGUAAUCAAUAGUAGUGUAGUGAGUGAAGAUUUUUUUAGUCACGAGAGCGUCGACCACACAUACCUUGGAUACUUCUCAUGGUCUGAAAUAACUUCUACAAUUUGUUGUAUGGAAUGAUUAGCUUUAAGUUCAGGUGAUCCUAUGGUUACCUGCAUACAAUAUAAGCCAACAGUUAAGAACAGGGCUGUCACAAUCAAUUCAACACAACACAACACAGUACAAGAACCAGAAAAUAACAAUAACAGCACCAAUCGUGCACCUUAUAAGGAUUUUGCAGAAACUGCCUUGCUAAGGCUUCAACUUCUCUAGGCCAUGUGGCACUCCAGUACAAUGUUUGCCUGUCUGGGCGGAUCUACGGAUAGCAGAAGUGUUUGACAAGCAUUAGAGCCAUGCAAGACAGUAGAUAUUAAUAAGUAUUCUGCAUUUCUAAACCAAACUGUACCUGUGCAACUAUUUUUCGAAUUUGGGGCUCAAAACCCAUAUCUAGCAUCCGGUCUGCCUCAUCCAGCACAAGGUAUGUCACUCUACGUAGGUUCGUGUGGCCGGCUUCCAGCAUAUCAAUCAACCGACCAGGAGUUGCAAUGACAAUUUCAACUCCUAAAAGUGCAGGUGAUAGAAUGCAUUGAGUUUAAAAAGGCAUUCAUCUAAAAAGAAUUGAACUGGACAGAAGUGUGCAGGUACCUCUUCUAAGGUCACGUAUUUGUGGACCCUUAGGUGCACCACCAUAGACACAUGUGCUUCUAGUUCUUGAAUAUGAUCCAAAUUUUGUAGAUUCUUCCUGUAUUUGAACAGCCAGUUCUCUUGUGGGGGCGAGGAUUAAUACAAUUGGGCCAUCGCCUUGUUCUACAGGCAUUACAAUCAGGAAUUAUGAGACAGGGGAAUGGAGACAGUCAGAAAAUACAUACAGAAAGCUCAUAGCAAGUUUAUAGGAAACAAACCUAGCCGAGGCUGGGCACCAACAUGAACCAACCCAGGUAGCAGAUAAGAUAAUGUUUUCCCUGAGCCUGUUUGAGCGAUACCAAUCAGGUCCCUACCCUUCAAAGCCAUAGGCCAACCUUGAGAUUGAAUAGGAGUUGGCUCCACAAAUCCAGAUUUGGCAAUCGCUUGCAUGCAGUAAUCUGUCAAAGGAAUCGUGAAACAGUAGUAUAAGGGAAGUAUUGCGUUACUAUCGACGAGCACACGGACAGGAAACACUGGAACUAGAGCAAACCUGGGAAGUUGGCUUCCUGGAAGUAUCGGACCGGCUUGGGCACAUCCCGGCCCUCUACGGUGAUAUCCCGGAGGCGGCGGUACUGCGCCACAUCCGCCUCCGACAUAGCCUGGACGGAGGGACACUCCACGUAGAAGUUCUUCUCGAACGGUAUCAGGCUCCGGAAGUCCGGCUUAGGGAGGGCAAGCGAGUCAAGCCCGUCCCUCCCGCGACCACCUCCCCUGCCGCCACCUCCAUACCCACCACCGCCACCUCCAUACCCACCGCCGCCUCCUCUGCCGCCUCCACCACGGCCUCUGCCGCCCUGCCCGUAGCGCUGGUAGUCGCCGCCCGCGGGGGCCGCGGGCACGGGCACUGGCACGGGCGGGUAGGCGGCGGCGUAAGGGUUCGGGUUCACCGCAGCCACGGGAGCCGGCGGAGCGAACGUAGGAGCCACGGCCAGGUCGCUGCACGGGAAAUCGAAUCGAUCGAGUCACGUUCGAAUUAAUCAGAUCGGAAUAGCUAGAAUUAGGGUUGGCGUACCUGCGCCUGUCGUGGUAGGAUGAGGGGUCGGCGAAGCGGAGGUCGUAGGGGUUCAUGGCGCCGGGUAGGAGGAGCUUGGCCGGACGGGAGAGCAGGGCGAGGGCGCCGCCGUGCUCGAGGGUAAAGGCGAGGGAGGGGAUGGAUCUGCUGGUGGCGGCGGGCGGAGACGCGGUGGUCUGCUUUUUGUUGGGAGGGUGUGUCUUGGUGGCGUGCCGGAACGGACAGGGUCGGUUCGCGUGACCCACACGUGGCUCGGCCCGGUGAGCUGAGCUGCGUAGUCUGCCGUCUGCGUAGAAGGAAAGAGGCCCGGUCCACCUUCACGCUAGUCGGCAAAGGUUACGGGCCAGCUGAGAAUUGACCGCGCGGCGCGAUUUUUUUUAUUAUUAUUAGCCUUUUUGUUAAUAAUUUUCAAAUUUGACACUAUUUUUUUAAAAAAAAUCUAACCCUUUUAGCAGGCAUGUUGCGCGACUCAGAGUUAGAUUUCAAAAAAAAUUAUGUCAGAUUUAGAAAUUGUUUAAAAAAAAGGCUAAAAAUAAAAAACGCGACACGGAGCUCCUGUUCAUAACGACCUAGGUGACAACUUUUUUCUCCCUACUGCUCAGCGCCAAUAGUUUCAAAAGAUUAUUAUCAAAAAAAGUUCCAAAAGAUCAUUGAUAAACCUAAAUCAAUGAUUUUUCAAGUGGCUAAAAAAGUUAGAAGCAUGUUUGUUUGAUUUCUACGAUCAUUUUCAAAAUUUCGCUUAUAACAUUUUUUUUUGCGAGACCUAGUUACAUACGCAAACGCUUACCUACACGGGUGCACAUUUACCCUUUCAAACUUUAAUCUUAAUAAUCUGAGACUCUAUCAAAAGCUUACUAAAGGGCUAUCCAUCCCAACUAAAAAAACAAGCUUCAAUUCCAAGACUUGGUUAAAUUGAGUUUCGAGACUUAGCACUUAGGUUUAGUUAAAUUGAGUCCCGAUACUUGUCAGCACACCAAAAACACUCAAAUAUUGCAUUCUUACAAUAGUAUAACACACCUAUACUUAGGACCAGAGAUAGAAUCUAUUCCAACCUCUUGAGUUGCACAACUCUUCGUAUACCAUUUCUUCAUAACGUGUCUUCACAUGGGUUGCAAUCAACUUUGUCCCAAUCCUUGAAGAAAUUCUCCCUAAAUUUCUAAUUUAAACUAUGAGUUUCAAGACACUAUAACUUUUGGUCCAGUAGUGAAUCGAACUUGAUGUUGUAUGACUCCUCGUGGCUUGAUUAGGAUCGGCACAAGUACUUGCUUAUUCGGCUUAACCAUAACACCUUGGUUGCCAAGCCAUCGCUUGUCUUUCACCCUUGCUUAGUUCAAACUAUUCCCUUGCUACAUUUGCCUCAUUUAGCAUUUCUUGAUUUAAACCUUGCAUGUAUCAGCAAUGUGCCUUUGUUUGAAAUCAACUUAUGAUUUUGAUGAGUAUGAAAUUCAUUAUCAAUAUUCUUGAUCUAAUUGGCAAGCUAUACACUUGAGACUAACUCAUAUGCAACUAUUCCAUGUCUUUCUCACUCUCUUCCACUCAUACUUUUCAUUUUGAUCAAUUAUGUCAUUCCAAUUUUCAUAUCCCAUAAUAUAAACAAGUUUCAAAUGCAAGACCAAAAAAAAUGCAUCAAUCCAUGCCUUUUUUUCAUUGUUAGCAUUGUUUGUCAUUUCUUCACUUAUGCAUUAUUAAUUUUACUUCAACUAACAAUCAACUAUCAAUCUCUUCUCAUUUAUACAAGCAAUCCAUAACUACAACUAAACCAUAUCCACUUCUUUUGUCUCAUUUUGUCUUACUAUUUGGCUUUUAAUCGCUUAAAAUAUGGCAUGAGUUUGAUGUGAUCACUUACAAUGAAACAUGUCCAAAACUCAAUAGUUCUCUAAUUUUUUGUCACUCAACCACACAACUAACUAGAAGUAGAUGUACUUUCAAGUAGGUCUGAUGACGCCCUUUUGGGACAAUUUUAUCUAGUUUUUGGUGAUAAUGAUCCUGCAUAUAAAUUUGAUCAAAACUAGAUGACACUUCAUUAGUUGAAACUAGGUGAAUUCUCCGUGCGUUGCUGCGGGAUUUUCUUAAAAAUAAAGCAUUAUAUACAUAGCACUACUAUGUGGUAUUUAGUCUAUUAUAUAUGUACACAUAUGAAUUUGACUUGCAUGUAUUUUAUUGUAUUAGAUCUAAUAAAAAAUUGCUAAGCUAAUAAAACAAAAACUAAUAUUUGGUUACAUUAUAGAGGAAUUAAUUGGUGAUGAAACAAAUAAUGUAUGUACAUGACUUGUAUGUGAAUAUAUUAAAGAUUUAAAGUAUUUCACAUGAUAUAGAUGAUAUGGUUAUUUUUUAUAAUUAAUAUAGAAUGACAUGGACUUAGUGGAGAAUGAUGUGGACAUAUUGCAUGAAGAGAUAAAAUAUUUAGUGAAUCACUUAGUGGGGAAUAAUGUGGACACCUUGCAUGAAGAGAGAAUUCGUCUAGUAGGGUUUAGCUUUAUAAAAGUUAUAGAUGAUUUGUACAUAUAAUUUAGCCUUGUCUCUUUACAACCAAGUGUUGAUGAUCAAAAUGUUACAAUAGUAGCCAUCAAAACUCACUCAGCUCGUGAGCUUGUUGGACGUAACUAGCUGAAACUCUAGCUUGGCUUAUUAAAAAAACAAUGUAUCGAGACAAAGUUAGAAAAAUAAAUCGAGUGACCUAAUGAGCUAUGAGAUUUUCGUCUAGCCAUAAAACGACUUUUAAAUCCAAGUGUUUGUCAUAACUUCGACUAUAAAAAUUUUCUAGGUUGCCUAUUUAUGCAUCUUUUUUUUCUAAGCUAAUGACAUUAUUGUCAUAUUGAAUAAAGAUACUUACUCUAGUGGUUUUCUUGUUUCUUUCAAUCUAACACAUAUUUAAGUAUUUUAAAAUUAUAUCCAACAAAAAUCUUAUACACAAAUCUUAGAGUUAAAUUUGUGCUAAGUAAGAGCCGUGGAUGAGGUGUUAACCAAUGUGUGGUGAUAGUUCCCUGUAUAAAAGUGUGUGUGCAUAAUCUACACAUCAUAUGCUUGUUCGAUUUUCCAUAAAACCAUUAUAAGAAUAUAUAAUUACAAAAAAGAUGUGUGUCUAGUAGAAGAUAAUGUUACAAAGAUCAUUCUUUGUCAUGUAUCAGUCUAACAACACUACAAAAGUGCUAAAAAAGCAAUACAAAAAUAAUAAGAUGAGAUUGGUGAUAGACUAUGAAAACAUUCUACUUGUUUUGAGAUUGGACCCAUUAUCAUGUUUGGAUGCAUGCACUGCUCUAUCUUGUAUAGGAACGUGAGAUAUUAGAUCUAUUGAAUUCGCAUCGGAUGGUGGCUAAGAGAUCUCUCUCUAUUUAAUAUUAGGUAGGAAGGAGAAGAGAGAAAAUGCUUGUUGAAAAAUACUAGCGGUAAUAUAUAUAUAUAUAUAUAUAUAUAUAUAUAUAUAUAUAUAUAUAUAUAUAUAUAUAUAUAUAUAUAUAUAUAUAUAUAUAUAUAUAUAUUUUGUCUUCCAAAAUUUAAGGCCUUUUCGGAGUGAAGGAUUUUUUCCAUUUCAUGUGUUUUCCUCUAUAAAAAUGAUCUGAUUACCUACACAAUUAUUGUGAAAUUGCUGGUGUGCAAAGAGUUUUCUUGUCUUGUCUUGAGCCCUGUUUAGUUCAUCCAAAAACUAAAAACUUUUCAAGAUUUUUUGUCACAUCGAAUCUUGCGACACAUACAUAAAAUAUUAAACAUAGUUAAAAACAAAAAUACAGUUUGCUUGUAAAUCAUAAAAUAAAUUUUUUAAACUUAGUUAAUUUAUAAUUAAAUAAUAUUUGUCAUAAAUAAACGAAAAUGCUACGAGCGCCGAAAACUUUUGGUUUCGACGACUGAACGAGGCCUCGUGAAAAAAGUCUUGACCACCACUUCUUCGUAGCGCAGACGUCGAGACGGCAGGCCGAUCUGGCGAAAUAUUUCAGUCGCCCCCCUCCUUCAACCUCCAGAUCUGGCCACUCCCACACGCCCAGUCUCCUAAACCCUACACAUCUCCUCUCUCGGCCACGGCAACUGCCAUCGCCAUGGCCGGGAGGCGCCCGGCACCGGCGGCCCUCCUCCUCCUCCUCCUAGCCGCAUCCUUCGCCCCCAUCUCCUCCGCCGUCCGCCCAGUCUCCGACGCGCACAGAUCCGCUGCCGCGGAGCUCUUCGCCCCCUCCGCCGAUGGAUCCUUCGGCGAGUAAGUGCACUACCAACUCUCAAACGCCUUACGUCUUCCCGAUCUCGGCCACCCUGCCCCGCAGGCACAGUAGCCAUCCCAGCUGGGCACAGAUCGAUCUGCCUGAUUGAAUUCAUGCUUACGUUUGUUUAUCUGGUGGUUUGAUCUGCGUGACUGUGCAGUUUGGAGAGUACGUAUGAGGCGGUGAGGACUUUCCAGAUACUCGGGUUGGAGAACUAUAAGAGUUUGUCUGGGAAGGCGUGCAAGUUUGCUGCGGAGAACUUGGCUUCCCCCGGUUCCACCGCGAAAGAUCUGUUCCACGCAGUCCGGAUCAGUGGCGCGCUCGGGUGCGGUGUUGAUGCCGGCGUGUACGAUGUGGGUGUUGGCUUUAGAGAUCUCGAUUUUGCCACCUGUAUUGUGAUGUUUGAUGGGGUUUUGAGUAUUGUUCAUUUUGGCAGGGUGUUGUGGCAACGCUCAAGGCAGUGAUUAAGGAUACCAAUUCCCUGUUGGAAUUCUACUAUUCUGUGGGAGGUUUGCUUAGCAUCAAGGUCACUGCCUCUAAUGCACUUUUUGAUACUUCUCUGUUACUCAUGGCUGCUCCUAAGUGCUUAAUUGAGUUUUAUGUGGUAAUUGAUAUAUUUUUUUGUUUUUUCCAUUUAUUUUUGCAGGAACAAGGCCAUAAUGUUGUUCUGUCUGAUGCAGAAAGUACAUUUCAUGCCAUUAAGGUGAUCACAAUUUGAUAUAACAGUGGAUUUUCCAUAUAUAGUUUUCUGCAAUGUGUAUUUUCUUCUUCAAUUCAAUAUCAUCUUAUGUUAUAUUUAUCAUUGUUACUCUAGGCACUUAGCCAAAGCGACGGAAGAUGGCGUUAUGACACUAACAGUGCUGAAUCUAGCACAUUUGCUGCUGGUAAGUGUUCUUGGUGACCUUCUCUGCUGGAAUUUGGAAACUUGGAAUAAAAUCAGGGGCGGAUCCAGGCCCUGGGCGCCCGGGCUACAGCCCGGGGCGCAGCCCAAAAAUCCCUUUAACAGCUCUGUGUCCAGCCUAAGAUAGCCAAUGAAAACAUACAUUUAGCCCUACCCGACAUGGCCCAAGAAUCCCUUAUACUAUUUUCAGCCCCCCCUCCCCCUUCUUCGAGGUGUUUCUGGAUCUGCCACUGAAUAAAAUAGGCUAUUACUUGUAGGUAAGCAAUAUGACACAACAAAAAAGCCUAGUAGCAAGCAAGUCAGGGUAGGCUAGAGAUGCAAUCCAACAUGAUCUACCAGCAAAUAAGGAAAAAACUUAUAUAUAUUAUAUAUAGGUAAAAGCAUUGAUAUUUUGCUUCCAUUCUGCACAUUCUUAGUUAGUCCAUCUCUUUCUGUAGCUUGUUUCAGCUCCAGGAGAAUUCAACUACAAAGAUAGUGCAUGUCACUGAUGUUUAAUAAUAAUGUAUUAUCACAGGUAUCGCACUAGAAGCAUUGGCGGGCAUUGUUUCACUGGCAGAUGCAGAGAUUGAUUCAUCCAUGGUGUGUAUGCGCUCUUUGCUGGUUAAUAACGUAGAGCUUCCACAUCAUGCUGUUGAUACCCCAUUUAUCCCAAAUGCUUAACCCCCACCCCUUUAUUCCAAUAUCUGGAUAUGAUGACCUGACAUGUUUUAUGACCCUGUUUAAAAAGGUGCAUCCCUGUAUUUUUUUCUGAACAAAUGUGAUUUUGCACUUUUGAUAUUCCCAGGAUAUUUAGGUGCAUGCUUGUGUUGGAUGCUCAGUUUUCCUAUUUUGCUUCUAAGAGUUUGUGGGUGAAGGGUCCUGAUAGGAUUUAUGUAUAUAGCUAUUUAUGCUUUGCAUUGUUCUCUGCCACUACCACUAUCCAUCAAUGUGUAUAUGUUUUGCUGAUUGAUGGUCUUGUUUUUAAUUCCACCAGAUGGCAGUGGUUAAAAACGACAUCAUGAAGCUUUUUGACACCAUCAAGAGCUAUGGUAUGUUUUUUCUAGCUUUCCUUAUACUUGAUGAUGAAAACUUACAGCAGAAGAGCAUAAAAAAAAUGCACUUAAAAUGAGUGGGAUCUGUCCACCUUUUGUGAACUUUAAGCUUGCCACCUCAUAGGAACAUAGGAUCCCCCCCCCUCCUCCUCCUCCUCUCGUCACCACUCAAUUCUGGUGCUGAUACUUUGGCUAUGUCAUGAAAUUGCUGAAUAUAUGGGAGGACCGAAUUAUAUGUGAUUGGUACUCAACAGAAAGUUUUUUUUCCGUCUUUUUUGGGCGGGGUGGGGGUGGGGAGGUGGACUAGUGAAGUCAUGUUCAGCUGAAUGUUAUAUGGUUACUUGGUGUACUAGUUUCUUAUAUGUUAUCUGUACUCAGAUGAUGGGACCUUCUACUUUGAUGAAAAGCAUGUUGAUGCUACUGAAUACAAGGGUCCUAUAAUGACUUCCGCUUCAGUGGUACGGGGUGUCACCUCAUUUGCAGCUGUUGUUUCUGGAAAAUUGAAUGUGAGUAUUUUUUUUACCUCUUGCACUUAUUACUUAUUCCCUAAAUUUAUGUGUAAGCAUCUUUCUUAUGUAACUAUAUAUACUCAAAUGUACAGAUCCCUGGUGAGAAAAUACUUGGCCUGGCAAAGUUCUUCCUUGGUAUUGGGCUCCCAGGUAGUGCAAAGGACUGCUUUAAUCAGAUUGAGUCUCUGUCGUUCCUGGAGAACAAUAGGCAAGUCUUCUUUAUUGUUCUUGAGAAUAUCCAUAUCUGUUCUGCUUUUAUUUAAUCGGAUAUAUUGCCUGUUGCAUAUUGGUGAAUCAGCAUAUCAUUUGUUUGGUCCUGCUGCAAGUUAUUUUUUGCUUAUCUAUUUUCUGCGUUUUGCAGGGUCUUUGUUCCUUUGAUACUGUCACUUCCUUCCAAAGUAUUUUCAUUGACUUCGAAAGAUCAGCUUAAGGUGAUUAUUGCAUGCCUAUCUUGUAUUCUGUAGCUAAAGGAAUAACAUCCAGUGUGAAAAUGACGCACGGGGCCUUGGACCACAAUUCCUGACAUCAGAUGUUAAUUUCUGAUUACUACACCUCUGGUAUUGCCGAGCAAUUUGCCCAAUGCUAGAAUUAGUAUGCAGUGAGUAAAACUGUACAGUAUCUUGUUGCAGUGUCGCUACUCAUUGCUUUUGAGUUUGUUGUGUUUAAUAAAGUGUUUGUUAGUCCCAGUUUUGUUGUCCUCAUUACAUGAUCUUUUCAGGUUGAAGUUACAACAGUUUUUGGAUCUGCUUCACCUUCACUCAAAGUGAAUCUUGUGCAAGUGUUGGGAUCUGACUCUAAAGUCAUCACCAAUGAGAACAAGGUAUAUAGCUGAAUCAAUGGCUUCCUCCAGGAACUUCCUUGUUAUAGUUAUUGUUUUUGUGUGUUGCAGCAGAAAUUCCCUAAUGUUAUUCUCCUUUUUGUCUCAGGAACUUCAAUAUGACCUUGACAACAAUGUCCAUUACUUGGACAUUGCUCCACUGAAAAUAGAUGUUGGGAAAUACUCAAUAGUUUUUGAGGUACUUGCACUUUACAUCUUAUUUAUAUGUUAGUAGUUGGCAUUCUUUAUAAUGGCCCUCUUGUACUCCAGAUUUCACUUCAGGAACCAGAGCAUGAGACAGUUUAUGUUACUGGAGGGAGAAACACCGAAAGUGUCAUUGUCACAGGACUGAUCAAAGUCAACAAGGCAGAAAUAGGAAUCUCUGACAAUGAUGCUGGGACCGUGGAGUCUGUCCAAAAGUAUGGAUUAGAAGUUAUAUAUGAGUUCACGCUAUUUCAUUUAAAAUGAGUUAGCUAAACCUUUGAAGCACACUUUUUAUUCUUGAAUGAGUAAUUUCUUCAAUAUCAUAUCGUUUAUCCUUGUAGUGUUUUGAUGGCUGAUCUUAUCUAAUUUAGUCAUAAGAACGAUUUGGAUAUAUAAUAUAUUCUGCAUUUUAUUCUUCCUAUAGAAGAACUUAGCGUUUACCAUUUUUUAAUUGCUUGAUUUCAGGUUAGAUCUUCUGAAAGAUACAAAAGUGUCUCUUUCUGCAAACCACCUGCAGAAGCUGCGUUUAUCCUUUCAACUAACCACACCGCUCGGGCACACAUUUAAACCUCACCAGGUUGCCACUCACUUUGAUAUUCUGAUACCAUGAUGGGGAUAUUUUUCCUUACAUCAUUUAAUCAUUUAGCAAAUGUGUUCAGGUGUUCUUGAAGUUGAAGCAUGAGAGUAAGGUUGAACACUUAUUUGUGGUACCUGGCUCUGCAAGGCAGUUCAAAAUUGUUCUUGUGAGUAUCUCCACACUGGAAUUUGCUUUGUUAGUUCUUUGGAUGCUCUUAAUUCAUUGUGGCAAUGUGGCCAAUAGUUUAGAACAGGCAUUUAACUAUCUCGAAAAGUUGCACCUAUAUACCAACUCAAAUUUUCAACGGUGAUGUUUAGGCAAUGAAGCCUGUUUUCAAGUUUUUUAUUUUGUAGUCAUGCUUAUGGGAAGCAGCACUGGGGGUAUGUACUAUGUAGGUGGUGCAACUGACAAAUUGAGGUUUAAAACAUCUAGUUGCAUUUUUGUGGCGAUAGAUUUUGUUCAAUAUGGUAUGUUGAUGUAGUGGUAUGCGUAGCAUUUUGCUUGGAAUCCAUCGUCCAAGUCCUUGAAAUUUUCUGAAGGGUUUAGAGGCAUUGAUUGUGACAUGGUUCCUUAUAUGCUAUUUUGACUUGUAGGAUUUCCUAGGUUUGGUGGAAAAAUUUUACUACCUUUCUGGAAGAUAUGAUCUUGAGCUUGCCGUUGGUGAUGCUGCAAUGGUAAGCAACCAUAUAAUUUUAUCCUACUACUAUAUAUGGUCCCCAUUUGUUUGCUUUGCUGAUUUUCUUUGUGUUCAGGAAAAUUCAUUUCUACGAUCCCUUGGCCAUUUGGACUUGGACCUACCAGAAGCUCCAGAAAAAGCCCCACGUCCUCCUGCACAAGCUGUUGACCCAUUCUCAAAAUUUGGGCCAAAGGCAGAGAUAGCACAUAUAUUCCGCGCACCAGAGAAGAGGCCACCCAAGGAACUCUCGCUUGCUUUCACGGGUCUCACGCUUCUACCUUUUAUCGGAUUCUUGAUAGGGGUGAGUAAAAUAGUCAUGCUAGUCAUGUAUAAUUCUUACAUUUGCUUCGAAUCAAAGUUUCUGCCUGCUCUAGUGCAACUGAUGGAGGGCCUUCUCUUGCAGCUCAUGCGUCUUGGAGUGAACUUGAAGAACUUCCCAUCCUUGCCAGGACCGGCUGCAUUUGCCUCACUUUUCCAUGCUGGAGUAGGAGCAGUCCUGCUGCUCUACGUUCUCUUCUGGCUCAAGGUUUGCCUUGUUCCUUGUGAUAAAUGUUACUUGUGAAAACUGUGGCUGAUGUUCACUUCCAUUUUGGAACUGUCGCUGAUGUUCACUUCCAUUUUGGUGCAGUUGGACCUUUUCACAACUCUGAAGUACCUUGGCUUCCUCGUCAUCUUCCUUGUUUUUGUGGGCCAUAGGACCCUAUCCUACCUUUCCUCCGUGUCGACAAAACAGAAGACGGCAUAAUUGGACAAUGCAAACAGAGUUUUCCCGAUCAUCAAUUUUUGAGGUGGCCAUUGCAGGCCGUUGAGUGUCUUUUCGUGGCACUCUGACCGCACCCUAGAUUUUCAUUAGCUACAUGCAUUUUGAGGGAGGACUCGGUUUAUUUCAGUUGCCUUCGAUGAAUACUGAUACUAGGAAAAGUAGGACCUCACCUUCGUGUAUUAUGAUGAUGCACUGACAAUUUCUGAAUAGAAUGGAUGUUUAAUCAUAGAACUCAUAAUAUGAUCACUUGCGUUCGCCCUAAAAGAUACAGCAUGCUUAAGCGUGCUGAAAUGUUACAGUACCAUUCAGUAUUCUACUUUUUAUCUUUAUUAAUUUUCUUUCCUUCAGUUCUGAAGGAGGCCCUAAUCUAAUCUUCAUAGCCGCCCUAAACUUGAAGCUACUUAAGAGUACAUACGUCCAGUGGUGCCAGGGAAUGCUACGGGAGAGAUUAAUUAGAGGCUAGGAUGUGAAGUAUCAAUACUAGAGUCUGCUACUGGUGCUAUGACUACUUGGAAAGAGUUUCUACUGGAAUUAGAGUCUGCUACUAGAGUCUGCUACUGGAAUUAGAGGCUAGAACUCUUCGGGUGUUCUAAGGAAUAAAGUUCGACUUGCACCUAAAUGAAGGAAUAAUAGGUGUACAUGCUCAUAGUUAUACAUAUAUAUCAUCUUACGAUCUACUCGCUUCAUCCUUUGUCCAGAUCUAUAGCUAACAAAUUAUUUAUUUUGGACGGAGGGAGUAAUAAUAAGGGUGUUAAAGGAAUAAAGUUUGAUUUGCACCUAAAUGAAGGAAUAAUAGAUGUAAAACAUGAAAAACUAAAAUGUUUUAUUACGAAAAUAAUAGACAUUUAAAUUCAAGUUCAAAUACUCAAAAAACUAUGUCGGUUUUUCAUUAAGAGAGUACAUGAUGAUUUGUUAUGGAGUAGGGUGGGGUGGGAUACACUCCAAAAAUUCUCGCUUCUCUCUCCCGCGUCGCUCUCUAUACAGGGCGACACGGGGGACGACUUCCCACCUCUGUCUCCACCACCACCAGUGAGCACUCUCGGCCGCCGCCGUCAGCUUGCGGUGACGGCGGCCAGCUAUGGCACCCAAAACGACCACCCCAUAGCACCUUCCCCUUUCUCUCUUCCCUUUUUCUCCCCUCCUCUUCCUCCAACUUCAGGCUUGGAGCUUGGUUGGCUGGUGAUGUGCUCGGGCUUCAUAUCCGGGACCCCUUGGGCCGGAUCCGACGCUUCCCACCACGGAUCCCGUGGGCGGUCCACCUCGGUGGCCGGCGUACGCGCUGGCGCAGCGGUAGUGACAGGCGGCCAGAUCCAGGCGGUCUCGCCCUACACCUGGCCAGUGCGCUGUUGCCGUCACGUGUCGGAGGUCGGGUUCGCAGGUCCCGUCCACCCUGCCGGUGUCACCUGCUCGGCACUGGACGCCUGCUCCUCCCCGUGGGGCACCGGCUGGGGCCUGUGGUCCCAUGCGCCAUGCCCAGGCGCUCACGGGUCGGUGGUGCGGCUAGUGGGUACUCCACGACGCGGCAGGGGGACCUCGCGGCUCGGAACCGGGCUCUGGCCAUCCCGCGGCUCGGCUUGCCAGCGUACUUGCAUUGCGUCUCAAUCCUGGGCUGCAGUUCUGGCGGUUUGGAGGCUCCUACGUCUGGCGGGCAGGGCUUUGUGGCUAUUGGCCAUGGCCGAGCCACCAUCUCCUGGCGCUGCAACUUGGGAGGGCCACCACCAUUUGGUGGCCAGCGACUCCGUGGGCCGGUGGCAGGGGCCAAGAGACCCCCCAACGACUGUGGUCAAACAAGCUCCUGGGUGAAAACCCUGCCUGACUUCUUGCUUUAGGCCGGUGGCGAUGGCGCAACUGCGUCAUCCACCUUCUUGAAGGCGUCGUUGAAAGAUCGGUUCGUCGCACGGGUCCUUGGGGGGCGGUUUAGGGACGAAAGUCCUUCUUGAGCCUUUUUUCAACGUUGUUGGUGUCCGCGGACGUCAUGCCCUCCUUGGAGGCUUCGUUGUUGGCCACCCCCUGUCGAAACCGCUUCGUGCUCGUGUUGUGUCUACCUGCACUUCAGCUUUCUCCUCGCUUGGGUCUAUCCACCUCGGGUGUUGGUGUCGCUGCAGUCGUCUUCUUCGCAAUAGCUACCUGUCCACUGGCGGAUAUGUCUUCUUCUUCGCAGCGACUACCUGGUCGCUGGUGUUUACGGUCGUCUUCCUCUUCGCAAUGACUACCAGGUCGUUGUGGAUGGAUGGAUGGUUGCUGAGCUCUCCACAACAGCUACCUGGUCGUUUGUGGAUGGAUGCCGAGCUAUCCGUAGUAGCUAUUUGGUCACUUGCGGAUGGAUGCUUUACUACUUAGCUUCACCCACCCUGACCCUUGCGUGGAUGUUUUUUUUCUUUAGCAGGCAUAAUCAGUGGUGUUUAGUGGUGGAGGUCCAACACCCCCCCGAACCUCAUGUGUUCUUGUUGUUCGUUUGUCUUUGGGAUUUCACCAGUAAUCAUAGGAUUAUCUACGAGUCCAUGUAUCCGUGUUCCGGUCUUUCUUUGGCUCUUCCUCUUAAUGAAAAACGGGUAAAGACCCGAUUGUGAAAAAAAUCCAACACAAAUAUAAUAAUCUAUCAUUACAUGUUGCUGAAAACAACCUACUACAACAAAAAUCUGGUUGCCUCUUUGCCUUCCUCUUGUUCUUCUAUUACUUCUUGUUUAGCUCUUGCAUAAGCUUGUGUGCAAGUUUUCUUGAUGUAUGAGAAGUAGGAUUGCUUGUUAAAGCGUGAUUAGGAUAGAUUUAUUUUCUGCUCUAAUGAUCUUUCUCUUGUUUUAGCUUACGUCUAGCUAGCUAGUUGUCUUUUUACAUUAUAUAGAAACUUAUGAUAGAUUUGCUAAGCAUGUUGCUCUAGGUCUUCUUGCUAAGAAUAUGUUAGAAGUGAUGGUCCGAUGGACUCGUGUGCCCUUUUAUUAAAACUUAGAGCCACCGCGCUAGGGGAAGUAAUCCUUGCUUAGAUUAAGAUUGUUAUUGUUUAAAAAAAAUAGAUUAAGGUUGUUACAUUAUAUUUCAUAUGUUUCAAUUCACUGUGCUAGGAGAUUACCUUGGUAUGUCGUCAUGGGGCUGCCACUGCAAGCAGCCAAGCACGGGGAUUGCUUACCGAAGCAACGACUAUUUGGAGGCAGCCUUUCACGACCAAGGACCAAGGAGACGAAUUUUAUUGUCGUAGGCUAGGAGCCUAACACGAUUCUACGUGAAUUGCAUAUAAUUUUUUUGACACGAAAUUCAGAAAAUGAGGUACACAGUGCUCGUAACAAAACUGGAGCAUUUUCUCCGUGUGUAUUUUUUUUAAAGGUAACUCCGUGUGUAAAAUAAGUUUCAGAUGUAACAAGAUAACAAAUGCCUAUAUACUUCUAGUUACAUGCAUGCUGGAUCUGACGGGAUGCGGUGGAAGCUAUCUUUACAAACUACUGGGUUCUUCAAAGUCUGCUCUCAAUACUCGAUACUUACUGUGCUCGUCCUCGUGGGGGGAAACCAUCUUGGUUUAGUUUGAUUAGUCGUAAAUCGUUUCUGCUUGAUGGCAAAAACAAUGCCAGCUUAUUCGAGCUCCUGGGUCCAGGUCAGUCCUUGCAAAGAAUACACCAAUGACAGACGACUCUCACUUCUGCCAUUCCACUGAAAAAAAAACGCGUGGAGUAAACCACAUUCUGUGAUUUCAGGGCUACUUAAGGUUGUCAUUUUGUCGCCUGGCUAAUCUUGAAUAUAAACCACCCUUCUCAAUAAGAUCAAUGUGUUUACCAUCCUGCAAAACCAUACAAAGAACCUUGAACUUAAGAAACCAAAUGAUGCUGAAAGCGUAUAAGAUAUUGUAUAAGAUCACAACAGCACUACGAGUUUGCGCUCUGAAUUAAUGAGGCAGCAACAGUUGAAAACAUACCUCCACGAUAUUACCAUUUUCCAUGACAAUAAUUCUGUCAGCUGUUUGAAUUGUAGAUAGCCUACACAAGGAAAAAACACCAAAAUCUGAAGCAUCCUUUAAAUUUUAAUACACAAUUUCACUGUGGGGAUCUCCCCUGCAGUAUUUGCGUAAACACCAAAAUCUGAAGCAUCCUUUAAGUUAUAAUACAAAAUCUCACUGUGGGGAUCUCCAGGCAUGUUCAAAAAUCAAGAUAGCAAACACCUGUGUGCCAAGUAUACAUUACCUGUGUGCUAUGAUUACCACAGUCCUUUUAGCCUUCGAAUCUCGACUAACUUUUGUGAUGACGCUCUAGUUAGACAGAAAGAAGAUAUCAAUAGUUUUUUCCUAGGCACAUUUGGAUUGUAUAUACACCAUUUAAACUCAUACGAUAUUCAAAUUCUUACAUUAAUGAUUUACCUUGACAUAAUGUUCACUCUCCGCAUCAAGCGCACUAGUGGCUUCAUCAAGAAGUAAGAUAGAUGGGUCCCUCAGAAGGGCCCUGGCAAUAGCAACACGUUGUUUCUGACCUCCGCUGAGAAGAGCAUCAUCAACAAUGGUGUUAUAACCAUCAGGCAAAGCCAUUAUGAAAUCAUGAGCAUAGGCCUGCUUUGCAGCCCAGACCACUUCUUCAUGACUGACUUCUCUUGGGCAACCAUAUUUAAUAUUAGAGCUAAUAUCCAUUCGGAAUAAGCGUGGUUCCUGCAUACACCAAAACAUGGUUGUUCAGUAAAACAUAAGUCUCAUACGGUACUUAAUGUAUGUGGAGUUGAUCCUCAACCUGUCCGACGAAACCAAUUCUUUCCCUGAACCAUCUGAUAUCAAGCUCAGUGAGUGGGACACCAUCAAUUAGUAUCUGCAUCAGCACACAAGUGUGAGAUAUACAAUCAAAGGAUGAUUCUGGAAGUGUGAAAAGCUGAGACCACAGUUACGAACAGCUUACUUGCCCAUUUGUAGGUUCGUAUAGUCUAAGUAGUAAAUUGAUUAUAGUACUCUUGCCACUUCCACUAAGACCAACCUACCAAGUUCCAUCAAUAAAGGUAGUAAGACAUCCAAUAUCAGUCCAUGAAAAUUAACUGACAAAGAAAAUAUCAAGACCCAUAUGUCUUACAAUUGCAACUACUUCAUUUGGAUUCAGUGUCAGAUUCAAUCCUCCCAAAAUUGGUACCUGUUAGAAAUAAAAAAGGGUAAAUGAAGGGCCACAUAAACCCUUGCCAGCAUUUAUAAUUACAAAGUAUCCAUACUUCAGAGUUCAAUCAUCACAUUUUCUUAAACUUCUCCUGGAUAUUAAAUGUUAAGAUCAGAAGUACCAGUUCAUUGACAGUACUUGUAAACAUAAAGUAUAAAAAACUGUGUAAGCAUACCGUAGGUCUUGAUGGAUAUGAAAAUGAUACAUCAGCAUACUGAAUUUUCCCUUUCAACUUCUCUAACUUGAGGCCUGCAAUGAUGAAAAGCUUUAUAUUACUGAAUUGCAAUGCCUCCAAAGAAUUAGUCUUACAGUCAUGCACACAUUUCCUUGCCUUCAGAGCUAAGCUGCUUGCUAGGAAGGAGAUCCAUCAAACGAAAAACUUUUUCACUUGCUCCGACAGACUGCAUCAGGGAGGACCAGUUGUCUCCAAUCCACCAUGUGGACAAAAUUAGCCAUUCAGCAUAUAGUGUGAAUUUUGUCAACUGCUCAGCAGUUAACUUCCCAGACAUGAUUGCUAGACCUCCAAUCACCACUCCAAUGACCUACGCAAAGCUUAUUUGCAAGAGUACUUCAUCAAGGGUGUAAAGGCUUUAACAUCACCAGAUAAUAUUACAAAUUACUCUGAUGUUUAAUUAAAAGAAAAACAAUAGCAGAGGAGAUACCUGAGUAGAAUGGUAUAGAUAGUUCAAGCUCAGGCUCCAGCCUCCAUAAGCCACUGUCUGCCGAAAGCUUACAUCAUACAGCUUAUCAAGCCACUUUGCAUACCUAUCGAAGACUCAAAGGUAUUAUGGCACUUGACACAUACAAAGUGUUAACUGCAAUGGACCUAAGAGACAAGAAAAAAAGAAAGCAUAGAAAUUGCCUUUUAAACUCCUGCUUUUCCGUUCCAUACACUCGCACUGUCCUAACCAAAGUUAUCACCUCUUGAGCAACCUGAAUUACAUCCGUGUAAAAUAUUAAGGCGUAGGAAGGAAACAAAGUUGACUCUAGCAAAUGGCUUAUUUGUCUCAUUACAAAAAUCUUACAUUAUUGGCGCUUGCGGUGAACUCCUGUGCAAAUUUAGCUGCCCUUUUCUGAAACCUACCAAUCAAGUAGUAAUGUGAUGGGUUGAGUUCUCUCACAUACACCAAAAAUGCAAGCCAACAAAUAUAUUUCUAUAAUAAGCCUCUUUUUGCACAGCACUAGCAAUCUAAUGGUACAAAAUUGAACUAAAGUUUAUGAACAGACAAACAAAGGAUAGUAUCUUUUACCGUCCAUGAACUAGCAUAAUUGUUGAUAGAGUGGCACAAACAAACAUUGUACACAAUCCGAGAGGCCAAGAUAAGACUAGCAGAUAAAUUAAUGCACCUGCACCCUGAGAUAAAUUAAUGAAAUAGCACAUGAGCUUUUCAAACACUGAAUGAUGUUCAAUGUAAGAACUCCAAAGAAAUUUUCACCUGAAGUAAAUUGCGUGAAAUCAGGUUAAGGUCGUUGCCUAUAACACGAGACACUUGUUGGCAGUCCGAACCAAGUCUACUUGUCAAAUCACCGACUGUUUCUUCAUCAAAAAAGGAAAUAUCCUAGCACAAUGUAACUACAGUAAAAAUCAUAGUGGUAUGGUUGAGCAAAAAAAAAAGCAUAACAAAUUUUCUUUCAGCUUCCAUACUUCUGCAUUCUUUCUUACCUGUGAAAGAAUGGAAUCAAAUAGUUCCUCUCUCAUACGUUUGACCUAAGAAAAAUUCAGAUGAUGAGGGUUAUAGGCAGAUCAUAUGGAAACAGUAUGGAACGAACAAACUUGUUAGGACAUGAGGAAUCUAACAUGGUUUUACCAAUAUCAUGUUUGCAACACCAAAACAGCAGCUUCGUACACCACUGCAAGUUAGGGAUACCACUACAUAAGCAACCUCAUUUGUUUCACAAAAUCAUGCAGAAUGAAAUAAUCAAUUUUAAUAAUUCUGCACAGAGUAUCAUGAAAAAGCUCCCCGUUUCCGUUUGUACGAAUCUGUAUAUGUGCAUUUUUCAUAAUGGUCUGUAGCAAGCGUGAUUUUCUGGUUCUCUAUGAUCCUGCCUUUUGUAUUCAUCAUUAUAUUGCAGAUACAUCAAAACUUCAUGCUCAGCGCCCCCCCCCCCCCCCCAACACACACACACACACAAAUGUUUCAGAGUGAUACUACCAAACUUUGCUGAUCACAUAGAGAUUUCUGAACCAUACAUUACACACUAAGUCUGCAGAAAACAACAUUUUACUGAUAUAAACAGUAGAGCCUAUGAUUAGCUGCUUCCAUUGACUGUGAGCAAACGGGUGAGUCGAAUAGCAAAAUGUGUGCCAUUUGAUACCAUGGUCAAUAUGAGCACAAUCUGAGCAAAAUACAACUAACCUAAACACCCCGGACACCAGACAUAGGACAACCAGAAGCUUGGCAUUUCGAUAGAACACCGCGCCUCCAUUCUGCGCAGAGAAAAUGGACGCCGCAAGGAGAUGUGGUAUGGCGAUCUCCGCAAGCUGCAAUGGCAACCGAAGCACAUCACUAUGCUCACCAACAAACACUGAAAACUAGAUAAAUCACUAAACAACCAUAGCACACUGUCAUGGGCUCAUGGCUGUCAAGCCUUACCGCAGCGCCUACGAGGGACGCAAAGCCGGCGUAGAUGACCCAUCUGUCGCCGGCGACGAGGGACCACAUCCGCCUGAGCGCGGAGACGGCGGUGGUCCCGCUCCCCUCGGCGCGGCCGGCCCCGUCCCCGGCCUCAUCGCCGUCCUCGAGGCGCCACCAGCUGCCCCCGGGCAGCACGUUGCGCAGGCGCUCGAUGAACUCCCCCACGACGACGCGGCGCCGGCCGAGGCCACCGAACUCGCCGCCGAUCGCCGCGGCGGCGCGGAUCCUCGCCGGCCGCAGCCGCCGCUGCCUUGGGGCCCGGAGCGGCGCCCGCCUCGCGGCCAGGGUCAGCGACAGCGUGCGAGACCCCGGGGCCGCCGUGAGGAGCAGCAUCGCAGCCGGAGCCGGCAUUUCGCGGUGUCGAAACCCCUCAGCUAGGCGCGCGAGACUCGAUCUGGACUCCGGCUCGCGGCCGCGCGAUUUCAAAUAGCGUGGCGAGGCCAAGGGCGACGCUGACGGUUGCGUCCUCGCCGGAGCUGGGCUGGUUGGGUUGCCGUGCGCGGCACUGGCACCGCGAGUGCGCGACGACUCUCCUCCUCCUCUUCGUCCGGCUGCUCUGCCUCGUUGUGUUUUUUUUUCUUUUUCCUUCCUCGCUGUCUUUUUCAGUUUUCUGUCUGGAAUCGAAAAUGAAAAAAGGAAAAAUGUGUGCCGUUUUGUUUUCCACGCGCGUGUUUGCGUUGCGAAAGUGCUUGGUUCGGUGGUGGUGGAAUUUCUUGGAUUUUGGAAAUUGUAUGGCUAUCAUUGAGUUGCGAGGUUUUUGGAUUGGCUUUGGUUUACGCUGCGAGGAAACGGACUUCUCCUGUGGUCGUGGGUGGUUCCUGAACCUCGUGUUGCUGCUGGCCUGCUGCUGCUUCGAUGCAAACGACAAGGGCAGUACUAGCAGUGAUGGAAAUAACAUAUGGCAUACAAAAAUUUCAUCUGUAAUUUGACAAAAAUAUAUUUAUUAAUUUGGUAAGUAAUUAUAGAAUUUGCAGAAUAAUUUGUUAUAUAGACACUAAAUAACAUAAUAACUCUUAUUAGUUUCAAUAAUAGUUCAAAUGCAAUAUUGAUAGUCAAAAAUAUAGGCAUAAAAGAGACAUAGAAUACUAUAUGUCUAACUUUUCAACUGCCGUUUUUUAAAGGAUAUGAAUGUUUUGAUUAAAUCAUCUUUAUCUAACUCAAAGAAAAUAUCCGCACAAACAUAUGACUACUAGACACUCGCCCACCCUAUUUGUUAAUUUUAUCUAGUGAUGAGUGACACUGAUCUGACUAAUCUAAACAGGUACAUAAAUAAUUAUUGAUAAGUAAUUAUGUACACAUAUUAUUUAGAAAUAAAAUAGAUUCAUUCAACGAGCACCAGAGCAAUAUACAAAUCUGACAAAGUGACAUAUUGACAUAGUCACGUACGUAGAGACGACCAUACGGAAGACAAGACACGCAUACAGGUAGGGGAAGCAGGAAAUCAGUCUAACCUCUCGUCGAACAUGAACGUUUGUAGUCUGCUCAACAGCUAGGUUGGGGGCAGACAGCCGAUAGGUGUGCCAGGGACAACAGGUAGGGGUGGAUCACAGUCGUGGACGCUGUAGGAUCAAUAGUGAUCGUCGGAUCGGCUGCGGGCUAUGAGAUUGCCAGUUGCCGCCUGAUAGAGAAACGGUCUCGACCCAAGCGGAGAAUAAAAGGUAUGAUGUUGUGUCGCAUGUGCGCGCUGCGCCGGCUUCUGAAGCGUCGUCCUAGUUGAUAGGUCAUUUUAAAAACAUGCUAACUUGUGAGUGGAGACGGAGGAGGUAGAGCUAAGCCUUGGCUAUCUCACUUGGUGGCCUGUUCGAGCUAGAUAGGAAGGAGGACAAGCUGUCCCAUUCAUCAUCUAUGGCGGCCAUGCUGACAACACCGGUGGAGGUACCAGUGUUGCACGACCUUGAGUGGACAAGCUCGCUACCCGUCCAAGCGGAGGCGUCGGAAGUUGGGAGGAAGUAGAAGUUACUGAGUCCUCCUAACUUCCGGCACCUCCACCGACAUUGUCCGCAUGGUCUGCAUAGACGACGAUUGGAGGAGCUUUUGUCCCCGUAACAAGCCUGACCCGGCCGCCAAGCAACAGCCUGAGGCUAAGCUCCACCUCCUCUAUCUCCACCACAACUGUGCCCCUGCCCGGCCUGUGGCGGGGCAUGUCCCUUGCCAAUCAGGCACAACAAGCUUACACAGAAAGGAGUUCAAGGAAGGAGUGAGACGGGCGGGUAUGGGUCAUGGAUACGCGCGACUACACAUAUUUAUCCCCGUGUGGGGUGAUUUUUUUCUUACUUUCUGCAAACAUAAACAUGCGUUGAGAGAGCAGGCCAUGCGUCAACAGCUUUCGUGAAAAAUCGCCUCAAAACUCAAAGUGACUCUCUCUCUCUCUCUCUCUCUUGCAACUGACCACCAUUAGGUGUACCCGUAUUUGGUGUAUCAUACACAGAAGUGGUAGUCUACUGUUACAAGUGCAGACAAAUCAUGAACAACAUUUUUUAGCACUACUAGUGUGUGUAACCUUUACAAGUAAUAUACAGUUGAACAAUGGUUUUAUGGUGGAUAUAUACACUAUAUAAAUCUACAUAGUUUUCUUAUAAAAGGGGUGCUAUAGCUUCAGCAGUUAGUACCACUUGCAGAAAAGGUAGAGCCAAAACAAGAAACUGAAAACAGAUUGCCUGCGCUGGUCUUCCAAACCACUUUUCGUUCUCCACGUCAAACAGCGCUAUGUACGUGGUUUUUCUUUGUUUGGUUUUUCUAUGUUUGAUUUUAACAAGAACAACAAAAAUUACUAACUGCUUCUUUUUGUUUUUGAUUUUCUGAUGAGUCAGGUGUGAAUCAUACCACAAGAAGGACAAAAAUUACUAACUGCUUAGGAAGCGUACCUCUCUUUGUUGGCGCGAGCACACGUCACCAGUUCCAGACUCCACACAGAUCGCAUCAUCAUUGCCUUACCCUUUACGAACACACAUGACACAACGCAUCAUCACACAUGACACACACACACCUCUAAUGUUUUUCCCCUCUGGUUAUUUAAUAUAGCAUUUCUCAAACAAAGAUGAUGAGAAAUAAGAAGCAAACAAACGGACAAGUGAAAGAACCCGACCGAGCAAAUUGAGGAGAGAACACACGCGCACCACGUACUCUCUCUCGGCCCAUCACUUUUUUGGCCGUACGUCCGAUGACCGGAGAACCGAUGGUCACAACUUACAACACAAACCAUCAUGGAAGAAAUAAUGAAAACACGGCGAACAAACACACGCCCACCACAAAUGAAUAUAUAAAAUUUCGUCUCAUCAGUCGGCUGCUAUAUCAUCUCAUGGCUCUAAUUUAAGGUAGCUAGCUGAUCGAUCGCGGCGGCACAUGGCGGCCGGAGAGACCAUCGGCACACAGGGGGAGCUGCUGGUGCGGCAGCAGCACUCUAGUAGUUUAACGUUAUCGUCCCCGGCGAAACCGAGCGCGCCAUCACGUCAUGUUUCCACGCCAGCGCCCGCGCGACGCACAUGGCGACGAACGGACAGCCUGGCGCGCGCGCGGCUGCUGGCUGCUGUCCCCCGGUAUGGUAUGGUACGGCCGUCGGGCCCGAUCGUCGCAGCGGCGUCGUCGCGAAAGCGUGCGCGCGGGCGAACAAAGUCUCGGCCAUGCCCCCGUCGUGGCGUCGUCGCUGUCCUGUCCAGAUGAGGAAUCUAGGGGCCGGUGCACCAGGAAUCAACCAGCAGGUUAGGUGUUGUGUGCGUGAUGCAGAUGCAGCAUGUGUGGUGUGGCCUUCCUUUUAUGUUUAAAUAAAAUAAUAAAAAAAAGUCUGAAAAGAAGAACCACCAUAACAAUAUAUACAUUUUUUUAGCAGAACAAUAUAUACGGAUAUCACUACCGGAUGCAACCCAUCGGCAAAAAGAACUUAGCCAUCGAAAAAAAGGUUGCCGAUGUCAAAGUGACGUGGCCAUCGGCAACCUCCCAUCGGUAAAAUUCUCAUCGGAAAACACAUGUUUGCCGAUGGCUAAAGCAGAAGUCAUCGGCAAAAGGAUUGCCGAUGGCCGCUACCCCCAUCAGCAAACCCUCCACGUCAUCCGGCCCGCCGUCAGGCUGACGGCGGGUUUGCCGAUGGCUGACUCCACGUGGCCAUCGACAAAUAGUCCUGUUUUCCGAUGGCCAAGGCCGUUGGCAUUUUUUGUAUUUUGUUUUUUAAAAAUCAUUUCACGAAUUUUUUUACCGUUGGCCACGGCCAUCGGCAUACCUAGGCCGCGCUGGGCCAAUUUCCACAGGAACCUGGGGAAAUUUUUUUUCCUUUUUUUCCCUGUUUUCUUCCAUUUCCAGCACAUUUAAACACAAGCAUGAUAUCAGAAGCAAUAUAUACAACAUUCAUCACAUAUAUUCGCAAUAAUACGCCAUUUCAAACAUAAUAUAGCAUCAAAUCCAUAUCCAUGCAUAAAAGUCCAUAUCAGAAGUGCAUCCAUACAAGUCCAACAUGUCCAAAUGCACCCAUACAAGUUCAACGUCGGCCAAACAUGUCCGACGUGGCACAACAAGGUCCAAAAUAAGGAGUAGAAGCUACCUAGCUCGUGGCGCCGUCCCCUUGGGUCCCCGAGCCCCCAGAAGCAUCCUCCCACUGAGGCCAACCCCCGUGCGGCUGCGGAUUCUGCAUCUGCUGCUGCUGCCACGAGUACUGUCAGUGGCCGAGCUGCUGAGGUAACUGCGACGGCCCGGGCUGCGGCUGCGGCGGCCACGAGUACCCCGGCUGCGUGGGGAACUGAGACGGCCCGGGCUGCCCCUGCGGCGGCCACGAGUACCCCUGCGUCGGUGGAGGUGUCGGGCCGAACGGCUGCCCGCUCUGGAGGAGGCUCUGGUAAGGACCCAAACCGGGAUGUGGAGGAGGAACCUGUGGAGAAGCACUCGCCGGAGGGCUAGCACCUGGAGUUGGGUUCAAACCCGCCGAGUGUGUCUGCACAAAGACCAAGUGAUGGAAUUAGUACCUGCGGACUGGCAUCACAAGCUAAAGCAGUAGGCAAUGUAGGGACUCACCGGACGAGGUGCAAGAAAAGGUGGCAGUGGAGGUACUGGAGGUGGAGCGAAGAAAGCGGCUGGAGGCUCACUCAUUCCCAUGGCACGCAUGUGCUGGGACAUCUGCGACCACGCCUUCUCGUAGUGCUGCGCAACUGAGGUCGCGUGCUGCUGAUAGGCAAGCGCCAUCAUCUUCUGGUUGGCUACCACCUCCUCGACCUAGGCCUGCAAUAUUACACGAGCAUGGUGGAUUGUAUUUGAAGGCAAGGUACAUUAUUUGUGAAACGGUCGAACGACGAAUGAAACUCCACUUACCUGAAGACCCGCGAUCUGUUGCGCACUGCUCUGCUCCCGAGGCGCUAUGGGGACCCGCGGUGCGCCGCCCCUACGCUGGUCUUCCUUGCGGAUCUGGGUCAGCGUCGGGACAGAGGACGGGUCAAUGGCGCUGUGGGCCAUAUAGAACCGCCCGUGCUGCUUCCCUCCUCCCAAUCUCAUCACGAGCUUAGGGUCUAUGGGCUCUGUGGUGACGUCGUAGUCGUCGCCAUGGGCCGCUCGAGCUGCGUCGGCGUACUUGGUGAGCUUCUCGUGCACUCUCGGGCUAGUGUACUUCUUGGGCCCGUCCGAAGAGUUGUACGUGGUGGAGGGCGCUUUCGCUGGGCUCUUGUGAGCAAGAGCCCACCCCGUGUACUCGUUGAUGGGCUGCCCGUCGUGGUGCUCCCUCUGCGAGGAAAACAGAAAACAUGGUUACAAGCAGAGAUAUAAGAAAUCCGACGCUAUAAGAAAUGGUUGAACACAAGCAUACCCAUGUUUCCAUGAACUCGCCGAGGUUCACGCUCCCCUGGUGGUGUGAGACCCCGGACUUCGCCAUCUCUCCCAAGCGCUUCGCCCGACGUUCUCGGUGCUCCACGUACGCCGCCGGCGUUUGCCACCCUUGGACAAUCGUACGCCAGCAGUCCUCGUACUUGCUGCACCAGCCCGGAGGUGACUGCAUGACAUUCAAGUGUUAGAUCUUCCAGAUAAUGAGUUGAAUGUGUCACAUAAGGAAUCACAGCGGAUGGUUUCCUACUUAUUUACCUGCAUGUACUGCUCCUCGGUGAGGUCGGUCUCCGGCUCACAAAUCAGCUCCCUGGACGUGGUCUUAUCCACCUUCAUCCCCUUGUAGUUGGCGUAGUAGGAGAUGACGGCCUGGGUGCGCGCCUCGUAGAACAUGUCCUCGAUCCGCGACUCGCACACCUUCUCCUGAUGCUUGUCCGCCACCUCGGGGUCCUACCCCUCCGCCAACCUAUAGUACAACUGCACACAGGCAUCAAACAUCAUUCCAUUGUUUGAGAAAAGUCCAACAAAUGCGUAGUAUUGAGAUAUGCGUUGCGAUUGAAAGACUCACCCAGAACUCCCUCUUGAUCUUCUCAGCGAGGACUUCCCCACGCGCGUCCCUGAUUAGCCAGUAGUAUGGCCAUUUGUCGGGCACGAUCGUCCUCCCCUCGAUGGUGACCAAGCCAGGGAAGUUUGCCUUAAUAAUUCGCCCCUGGAUGCUCGUGACAUGGGGCGAAGCCGUCCUGGCCGACACCUUUCUCCAGCCACUACACAAGCACAACAAUUGUUAGUAUGCAGUUUUAAUUCGAAAAUGAAAUAAGAACAAGUACAGAAAUCAACAAUGGAUACUUACGACGGCCCAGAGAUCACGAUCUGCGUGCGGUCCUCAGGGCGCGGCAAGUGCUCAGGGAGCUUAGUGGGCCCGCGCUGGAAGGGCUUCUUCUCGGUCCUCGUGGAAGCCGAGGUGCCUGUGGUCUCCUCCUCCUCGUCGUCGCCACAGCCACCGCCGCCGCCGUCCUCCUCCUCGUCGUCGCCACAGCCACCGCCGCCGCCGUCCUCCUCGUCGUCGUCCUCGUCGCCACCGCGGUUGACACAAAUUGCCUCAUCGUCCAACAGCCUCAACCUGGCACUCCUGCGCCUACCAGCACCCCUGCUGGUCGACGGCUCGACCUCAAGCUCCUCGUCGUCCUCCUCGUGGUUGCCGGCCUCCACGCGCUCCUCGUGGUGGCCGGCCUCCACGUCGUCCUGCUGGGGCGCGAGAAAGUUGUACCUCGACCUGACGUUCUUGCGGCGCGACCGUCCUCCGCCUGGCAUUUUGUCUAGUGCCUGCAAUGACAAAGAAUGAAACAGUCUAGUGCCAAGUCAUUUGUUUCGCGGACUCCUCCGUCAUGUACAGCCGUUGCAGCCUCGGUAGUACUGGAAGGUGUCGUAUGACCAUCUGGGGGAUCUUAGACUGUUUCUUAGUGCCAUCACUGCCUUCUACAUCCACGUACCUAGAGGCUUUGCACUCCGGACAGUGUGUUGCUGCCUCGUGGUCUCCCCGGAACAGGACACACCCGUUCUUACAAGCUUGGAUCGGGUUAUAAGGCAUCUUGAGUGCACGAAGGAGCUUCUGUGACUCGGUCGUGUUUUUCGGUAGGCAGUGCUCCUCCGGAAGCAGCCCGCCAACGGUUGCCAAUACGAGAUCAAAACCUUCCCGACUGAUGCCCAGUGACGACUUCAGCCCUAUUAGGCGUGAAAUGGCAUCCAGUUUAGAAAUGCGGGUCUUCUCGUGAAGGUGCUCCUUUGUCGCCUCCAUCAUGUCGUAGUACGCCUUUGCGGUCGACUCUGGAUCUUCUUCCACCACCCCCAAUCCUUCAACGGCUCCAACGUCCUCAAGCAAGUCUGUCAUUCCGGCAUCUUGAUCAAACCCCUCGAGGUCCGGUCUCACCACCGCCUCCGUAACCCGUUGGGGUUCCCCAUGGAGGAUCCAGCGGGUAUAGUUUGGAACAUACCCUUUUGCCCAAAUAUGAUUCCUCAUCUGUCGUUGCUCUUUCCUUGUCUGGUUCUUACACUUGCUACAGGGACAAAACACCUGAAUCGCCCCUUUAGAAGCUGGGCCAAAUGCCUUCUCCAGGAACUCCCCGGUCCCAUUAACCCAUUCAUUGGUCUUGUCUUUGAAUCCCGUGUACAUCCACUCACGGUCAGCCAUCGUCUGUCAUGCGCCAAAGUAAGCAAGUAAUAAGACCAAAUCUGCAUCUACAAGGCGUUCCUACCAUCUACUAGGUGAAGGAUAGGUCCUAAUCCCACCCGAGGAUGCGUAGAUGAGGUUAGCUUCCAUGCUCCGCUCCCGUCCGAGACGGAAUUUCGGCAGCACCUCCCCGCUGUUCUCCCGAUACACGUCCCGACAGGGAGAGUGUGUAUCCGGAGAACAACGGGGAGGGGCUGACGAAACUCCGACUCGGACGGGGGCGGAACAUGGAAGCUAACCCAUCUACGCAUCCUCGGGCUGUCCAAAAAACGUGGACAAUCCGAAAGAGAAACAGUCGCAGAUAUGCACUGAUCCGCAUACCAACGACCGCGAAUCUGUUUCGGACGGGAGACGCCUAACUCGGUUACGCAAUGUACUUACAACAACUAUAAGACACAGAGGUGGUUUAUACCUAGGGUGGCGGCGCAGAGGCGGGUAGGUGCACGAACACGGUCAAGGUCCCCUCCGACAAGUCCUGCUCUGCAAAGCAAUAAAGAUAUCAAUAUUUGUGGAAAAUUUCGACAGAACCUCCCCUGUAUGGGGAGGUUCCAAGACCUGCAAGAAAAACUGCCGGCUCGAAGGCCGGUGUCCACAUUUGCGGCACGAUGGCCCACACAACCACAAACCCGGCACGAAGGCCGUCAACACAGAAAACGGCGCGAUGGCCGACAACCCUAGAGCUUUACCUUCUCCUACGGCGACGCGCGGCGUCGGACGACGUGGGCGAACGGCGUCGGACGACGUGGACGGACGGUGCACGAAUGAAGCGGACCUUCUCUGCCUCCUCCUCCUCUCUUCCUCCUCCCCUUCUCCUUCCUCUCCUCCCCUUCUCCUUUGUCCUCCCUUCUCCUUCCUCCCCUCCUCCUCCCCUCCUCUUCUCCUCCUUCUCCUCCUUCUUUUCUUCCUCCUCCCCUUCUCUUCUCCUCCCCUUCCCUUCCCUUCUUGCAGGACCCGGCGGCCGCGGCGGUGAGGCGCGGUCCCGCGCCGGCGAGGAGCAGGGCGGCGGCGGCGCUGGAGGGCGCGGGACGGGGCGGGGGUGGGGGCGUAGGACGGGGUGGGGGGGAGGCGCAGGGCGCGGCGGCCGCGGCGGUGAGGCGCGGGCGGCGACCGCGCCGGCGAGGAGCAGGGCGGCGGCGGCGCUGGAGGGCGCGGGACGGGGCGGGGGUGGGGGCGCAGGACGGGGUGGGGGGGAGGCGCAGGGCGCGGCGGCCGCGGCGGUGAGGCGCGGGCGGCGACCGCGCCGGCGAGGAGCAGGGCGGCGGCGGCGCUGGAGGGCGCGGGACGGGGCGGGGGGGGGCGCAGGACGAGGUGGGGGUGCGGCGCGAGAGGGCUCGCUGGAGGGCGAGUCGGGCGGCGCGAGUCCGGCGGCGGCGGCGGUUCGGGGGCGGCGGCGGUGUGGGAGAGAGGAGGGUGAGAGAGAGAGGAGUGGAGAGUGGUGAGAGAGAGGAGAUGGGCCGGCCCGUUAGCUAGGGUUGCAAGCUUUGCCGAUGGCCGUGGCAAAGCCGUUCGCCGUUGACCGGCCAUCGGCAAAAAAAAAAUUUUGUUUUUUUCUUUCCAAUUUUUUUUCUGGUGUCUUCCUACCCCAAAUACAAGCCACCUCCAAAGUUUGGGACAAUUUUGAACUUUUUAGCUAUAUUUCGUUGAUUAUUUCUGUUUCUUUUAAUUUUUCCCGCACCUCAAGAUUUGAACUGCAGAUACCUAAAAUAAUGAAGACUUUUGAUUCAAAAAAUGAUAUUCAUGAUUCUCGGAGUAUGUUGAGGCCAUAUCCAGGAUCUCGCAUGAAAUUACGACCGUGUUGGCCUCGUAACAUGGGUAGUGACGUGCCAGGAAAGUGUUUUAAAAUUCUAUAAAAUGCAAACGAAGUCCAAAAUUGACGAGUUGUCUUGCCAUGGCAUGUGUAGUGUGUGGUAAAAAUUUCAAAAAGUUUCAAGCUGACGUCGGAUGGUCAAAACCCACAUGUGGAGAUGUUUGGGUCGUUGAUUAUAUAGAAUUUUAAAACACUUUCUCGGCACGUCACUACCCAUGUUACGAGGCCAACAGGGUCGUAAUUUCAUGCGAGAUCCUGGAUAUGGUCUCAACAUACUCCGAGAAUCAUGAAUAUCAUUUUUCGAAUCAAAAGUCUGCAUUAUUUCACGUACCUGCAGUUCAAAUCUUGAGGUGCGGGAAAAAUUAAAAGAAACAGAAAUAAUCAACGAAAUAUAGCUAAAAAGUUUAAAAUUGUCCCAAACUUUGGAGGUGGCUUGUAUUUGGGGCAGGAAGACACCAGAAAAAAUUGGAAAGGAAAAAACAAAAAAAAAUUUGCCGAUGGCCAUGGAAAGCCAUCGGCAAACAAGAUAUGCCGACGGCCGGCCAUCGGCAAACAAGGUGGGCCUGGGCGCUCCCCAGGCUGCCACGUGGCCAUGGUCUGCCGUUAGCCGCGGCCAUCGGCAAACGUGACGGCGUCUGCGGCCGUCCGCUCCUGGCAAGUUUUGCCGAUGGGGGAGGUCUGCCGAUGGCUUGGCCAUCGGCAAAAAAUUUCUUGGCCGAUGGCUUUUAGUCGCCGAUGGCCGGGCCACCGGCAAACUGGACGGUUGCCGAUGGGCUUUUUUCGCCGAUGGCCCGGCCAUCGGCAACAAUAGUUUUUCCGAUGGCUCCACUUUGCCAUCGGCAAACCUUGUUUUUUGCCGAUGGCAAAUUCCUCGACCAUCGGCAACCUUGAGCGCCAUCGGAAAAAACUCCGUCUCCGGUAGUGUAUGCAACAUGGUUGUCGUUUGUGUUAAUUUAUCUCCCCUUGUAUCAUACAAGUGUAUUUCGAUUUAGCACCUGCUAAUAGCCAGCACACCCCUUUAUUUGACGCGCGUGCGUCAGUUCAGGUAACAGUGCUCGUCUUCUAUGGGUCAUUGUCUUCCUCACUCUUCUUCAUCGUUAAUCUUCUCCUACUAUCUCUUUCCUCGGCGCCACCCUCCUCCAUCUCCUACUAGGCCGCAAGCCAGAACACCGACAACCUCACUGCCUUCCCCGCCUCAACCCCAUCAUUCACUAAUAUUGUAUGCGAUCGCCCCCAUUACCUACCUAGUCCAUUGUUUGUCUUCCAUCGCCUGAUUGGCGGCAUUGUUGCUGCCGUGCCUCACCACCCUUAAACGCCCCCCACCGUCGCGCCGACCACCGCCCCAACCAUCCCUCUAGGUCCGAAGGACGUUGGAGAUUACUGCCUAGAGAUUAAACCAAAGCUCAAAACCUAACCCUCAGGGGAGAAUCCAGGAUAUUAUGUCAUUGGGGUCAAGGAGUAAACAACGAGGUUAAAUACAUGUUAAUUCUCUAUUUGAAAGAAUAAUUUGCAGAUCAAUUAAAGAGCUUUAAGUGAAUUUCUGUCAAGUUAUUGGGGUCAGCUGACCCCAAUGGAUACACAUAGAUUCGCCCCUGCUAACCCUAGGCUCGUCUACCCUGCAGAUUACCCCAAAGCUUAAUUAAAACCUAACCCUUGGUCCGUUACCCCACCGCCAUGCAACCGCCACCCAUGGAGCCCAACCCCUACCCGCCCCACAUGCUCGGCACCCUCCCUAACCAUAGGCCAUAGUCUAGACUCUAGAGAUUACCCCAAAGCUUAGAACCAAAACCUAGGUCUGUGUACUCAUCAACUGCCAACUGUCGCCCACUCCGAAGAUUUAUCAAAAGCUCAAAACCUAACACUAGACCCACAUACCGUACCGCCAACUGUCAUUCGUAACCCUAGAUCCAUCUACCCUACCACCAACUGUCAUUCGUAACGCCCGCCUCCCACCCGCCCCACGCGCUCGACGCCCUCCGUAAACAAACGGCUUCGAAACCUAGGCCUGUCUACUCAUCAACUGCCAACUGUCGCCCACUCCGAAAAUUUAUCAAAAGCUCAAAACCUAACACUAGACUCAUCUACCGUACCGCCAACUGUCAUUCAUAACCCUAGAUUCAUCUACCCUACCGCCAACUGUCAUUCGUAACGCCCGCCUCCCACCCGCCCCACGCGCUCGACGCCCUCCGUAAACAAGCGGCUUCGACGUCACACCUACCGCCAACUGUCAUUCGUAACGCCCGCCUCCCACCCGCCCCACGCGCUCGACGCCCUCCGUAAACAAGCGGCUUCGACGUCACACGGUGGUACCGUUAAGGCACACACGUGUCAAAUCAGAAUUUUGCAACAACCAUGCUUGCUUUGUUAAAAAUAACAAAUUUAGAAAAGCCAUGCAUGCUUGCAAACGCAAUAUCAUCAUGCAUGCAUCCAGGUAAUUACCACACCAGCAUAUAUACAAAUUAAAGGAGGAUUAAGGCAUGCAGGUUCUAGCUUUUGCUGCUGUCUUGUUAUCCGAAUGGCACGACGACGACACCAAUGACCGAGAUCACACGUGUAAAUAAGAAUUUUGCAACAACCACAUGCUUGAUGAUAUAUAUGCAUGCUUGAAUAUCAUCAUGCAUGCAUCCAGGUAAUUAUACCACACCAGCACAUAUACAAAUUAAUUAAAGGAGGAUUAAGGCACGCAGGUUCUAGCUUUUGCUGCUGUGUCUUGUUAACCGAAUGGCACACGACGACGACACCAAUGACAGAGAUCAGGUAUGUCCAUGCAUGUACAUGACUAGCUAAUUAACGACACCACGACACAGGUCCAACAAACCAAACCAUGCACACAAUUCAGCGUCACACAGCAGGUGGGGGUCUACUACUCGAUUUAAUAAUAUCAUCACCUAGCACACUACAUGCUUAACACACGACGGGGGUGACCACCAUCAUCAGGUCAGCUGUUUCGAGCUAGCUAGCUAAUAACUUGAGAUGGAUCAAUGGCGGAGUGAGCGAGAGAAGACUGUUGUUCUUUCAUCAGAUGCUCACGGCCAUCUGGUUCAUGGCGGCGGCUCCCUGCUGCCGAUCCCGUCGAACGCCUUGCGGAGACCUCCCUUUGCAUGCACCACUGACCCCAUCGACGUCGGCAUCUCCAGGAACGCUGGCUUUCUCUGGACCUGCUGGAGACAUCAGCUUGUGCUUGCCUGCGGCACUGGAACCGUUGCCUUGCUCUUGCGCCGGCGGCCUUACCUUCACGCCCCGUAUCAGCUGUGGAUACAACAGAAUGGUAUCAGGGGUUAUGAGUUGCUGCUGCUGAAACCCAAGUGCACAACAAGAUCAAAGAUGCCACUGUACUUGAGAUUGACAUCCACACACAAACAGUGGCAUCCAAAACAGUUGUGUUGGACAUCGACCAAGACACUUGACCAAUGCAUAAUUCACAGGCAUAUGUAUAUGGAUCUAAAACGAACAUAUAUAGCAAGGAAAUAGACAAGAGGAGGACAUUACAAAUUUGCCCGACUUGACAUCGGAGUAUAUCACUAUGAAAUCCCCCUCCUGAAGCUCAUUGGAACGAACAAAUUCUCCUGCAAGUUGAGAAAAAACAGAAUCAAACAAUGACAAAGAAGAUGUCAAGAUCGGAUGGAUGGAAAUCGUAACGUUUUAGGAUCCUCUCACCUGUGUUCUCCAGCAGAUACAUUCUACUCUUGUUGUUGGGCCAAAACCUGCGUGCAUGCAAUAAGGAGCUGAUGAGGCACUUAAUUUGCAGCAAGGCAAUCCACUUUCAGAACAAAAUAUCACCAGAUCAUAUACAAAUGCAAAAAAUGAAAGCUACCUAUUUUGCAUAUAACUUCCAGUAUUGGAACAGGUUAUUAUUUUGCAUAGAACUUCCAGAAUUGACGAAGAACUUUGAUGGCAUUUGGUUCGAUGAAAUGUAACGCAAUCUGUUUAUUUGGAGGACUGGAUAGCGAUGCAGACACGUUUGGUUCAAUUUUGUCCGUUAUGCAUUACCACGUAAUCACAUAUCGUCCUAUUCAUAGGUGAUACCGCUCAUAUCCAUCCCUUAUUUUAUUGCCGCCGUCUCUCCAAAUUACCGUUACGACGCCGAACCAAUCAAAGUCAGCAAUCAACGAUCCCACCGACUAAACCCACGUGAUCUGAUUUCAUUUGCGGUUAGGUUACCCAAGGAUGAAACAAACACCACCUUUAUUUGUAGGGGAAAAUCAAACCAGAAAAACGAGCCACACAAAGACAAGGAAAUAAAGCAUAUGAAACCAGAAAGAAGAAAAACCGGAGGAAGGAGGGUAAGAGAACACUACGGAUGCUGUUAAAUUAAAGAUUUGCAACUGGCUGCCAAGCACACAGCUUAAUUAAGGAACGUAUCACCAACCGAAAGGAAGUAACAACUGCCUUGUGAAAUAACUCGAGCUAUACCACAAGUAGUUAUUUGCAAGCUGGAGGAACAGGCCAUUUUAAGAACAAAUAUCACCUGAUGGUGUACAUAAGCUAGCUACUGAGCAUAUGCAGAAUAUUUUAGUACUGAAACAACAGAGAUCGAUUAGCAAGUUGGAGAAGAGACAUGUUUAUUGCGUGCAGAAUUACGUGUAGACGGGUGCAUGCCACUAUUUGCUCCUGGGAUUCUCAUCGUACAGUAUAUUCAUAUGACCCACUUGCCCAAUUGGGAAAGAAAGGGACCAUGCCACAGUGAUGCCGUACUCAUGCCAUUUACUAUUUUCUGGCCCAGUAGUACGUGGUACUACCUUUAUAUCUCCCUACACGGCUACACCCAGUAAACCAAGAACAUGCAGUUUUGGGCCUUGUUUAGGACUUGUUUAUAGAUGCGAAUUUUUUUAGAUUUCGCUACUUUAGCACUUUCGUUUAUUUAUGACAAAUAUUGUCCAAUUACAAACUAAUUAGAAUCAAAAGAUUCAUCUCGUGAUUUACAGACACACUGUGUAAUUAGUUUUUAUUUUCGUCUAUAUUUAAUGCUUCAUUCAUGUGCCGCAAGAUCUGAUGUGACGGGGAAUCCAGGGCGAACUAAACAAGGCCUUACUUCCACCCAAAAACUCAAAAAAUUUUAAGAUUCACCGUCACAUCGAAUCUUUAGACGCAUGCAUGGAAUAUUAAAUAUAGACGAAAAUAAAAAUUAAUUGUACAGUUUGGUCGAAAUUUACGAGACGAAUCUUUUGAGCCUAGUUAAUCCAAAGUUGGACAAUAAUUACCACGAACAAACGAAAAGUGCUACAGUGUCGCAAAAUUUUUCCCACGAGGAAAAAACUCGGCCCAAAUAAAAGAAAGGGAGACCAAACAGAGAUUCGAGGGAAACACCCAACAAAUGGAUUUAUCAAUGCUCGGCUAUAUCCCAAAAAAUCCCUAGACUAAUGACACUCACCUGUACCGCAUGUUCCAUACGCGCGAUGUCCCAAUGUCCUCCAUGGGGAUGGAGAUGCCAUCCCUCGUCUUGAGCUCUGGCAGGUGAACCUCCGCUUCCUUCUGAAUCGUCCAAAGAAGACAAGACGAUUUUAGGAGAGAGAUACCAAACCAGCAUGGCCAAUUUAUUUUGAGAAGGCAAGACCAUUUGAAGAACAGAUUCAAUGCAAAAGCAGUUUGCAAGCUUUGAUGCAUAGAUCAUCUGUGAUCUAUCCAUGGCUGAUUUUAAUUAGUUCAAGAACAGGAGUGGCUCAAGUGGAUGCAGCAGGCAUGCAUGCAAUGCAUCUAGCUAGAUUUAUAUGUGCAAGUGGGGGGCUAGCUAGAUAUGAUGCAGAUCAUGAAGGGCGUCGUCUGUCUCACUUUGGGGAGCACGAUGCGCCCGAGGCUCCCGACGUCGCUCUGCUUCAGCACCUUCUGCAGCAGGAACCGCAGGUUCUUGUCCGCCUUGGCACCCUGCAAUAUCCCACACACAUCUUCAUCAGAUCCAUGCACGAACACCACAGGAACACGCAUCGAAUCCGUACGCGAGAGCAUACGGCGCACGCACGUUUCAUGCGUGCUCGUUUGCUCUCGACGACAGCGAUGUGCGUCUGUCUAUUACUACGAGCAAACACAAGACAAGUUUGGUAUAGUAUAGAUCUCGUGCUAGCUAGCGAUGCCAUGCACCUGCCGCUUAUCUGAAGCCGCCGCAAGGCGCUGGGGACUGUCGUCCAGCCGAGCACCAGGCGCCGGCUUCGCCGGUGGCGCGGUCACCGCUUCCAGGGAGAGAGGCACCGGUUCCCCUGAGGAAUUGGACUUGAUGGAGAGCGGGUUCUGGACCUGCUGCUGGCUGCUCGGCGACCAGAAUCCCCAGCCACCGGCUGAGGGCGUGACCGGCGUGGAGUGGGCCGACCGAGGGGACGGCUCCUGCGGGUGGACGGAGCCCUGGAUCUGGCCCAGGUUUAGCUGCUGGUUGCGCUGCUGCUGCAGGCAGGACAGGCGCCGCUGUCUCGCCAUGCGCUUCUUGCGGGCCUCCUUGGUCGCCGAGGCCUCCACGCCUGCCAUGCGCUGGGGGGCCAUGGUGGGGUGGCCGCCGGCAGCGCCGGCGGCGGCGUACUGCCCGCCGAAUCCGGCGGAGAACGGCUGCGGCAUAGGGUAAGAGCCCGUGGACGCCCCAGGUGUUGGGAACGGCACGUACUGCUGUGGCCAGGCCAUGUUUGCGCCGCCGGCGCCGUGCAUGUCGCCCACCGUCGGCGGGGAGAACGGCUGGCUGUUCACGACCACGCUGCUCGUGCUGGAGCUCUGGUGGAAAGGGUAUUGUUGGCCUGCCGCGUUUGGGUACACCGCGUCGCCGCCGUACGCAGGUGGCGUGAACGGCUGCUGCUGGUAGGGCAUCCAGGAUGUGCCGCCGCCUGCGGCCAUAUCCUGUCCGCCGGCGGGGAACUCGUAUCCUUGGUUGGCGCCCGGGCUGGGGAGCUGGCCGUGCAGGCCCGCCGCCUCCUCCAUCACGUCGCGCGGGCGCUUCUUCUGGAGGUGAUGGUUCUGCACCCAGGUGAGGAUGAGCUUGAGCAGCUGCAUGUUGCCUUGGCGCCCGCCGCCGAGCCGAGCGGCGGCGGCCUCGAUGGUGGAGCGGCGGAGGCGGAUCCCGCGGAGAUCCUCCGCCGAGAUGUUUUCACGGUUGCUCGUGAGCCACUCCAUGAAGAACCGCGGCAGCUCCUCCCCCGCCGCCACCGAUGACGCAUCCAUGCAGGCUUCCUCUCUGCCCGUCCCUUCCAGAACGGGUUUCUCUUCACGUCUGACGUCGCACACCGGAUUCGGCGGCGCGGACAUGGCGUCCUCUAGCAUCAAGCUAACCUCCGGGAACGGCUCGGAGUCCCACGGCAUGGAGAGCGACGCGAAGUCGAGGAUCUGGUCGAUGUCAUCAAGCGCAUCAAACCCUUCCCCGGCCGAUGCAGGCUCGGAGGGCUCGCCGGCGGCGGCGGCGCCGCCGCCGCCAGCUCCUCCUGCCGUCGUGUUGGUGUAGGCGCUGGAGGAGUUGGACGAGGAGGACGACGAGAAGGUGGAGCUGGACGGCGACGAGAGGCAAGGGAAGUCCGGGAGGGAGGGGAACGUGUCUUCGGCGAACAUGAAGUCAUCCGCCGCCUCCCCUCCGAUCUCCUCCGCCGGGGCCUCCCCCAUGUCGCCACCGUGCUCCGGCGGGUUCUCUUGGGAGUGCGGUGGCGACGAACCGCCGGAGGCGUCCAUGC
This 59872-nucleotide long non-coding RNA is filed under the name Sorghum bicolor (sorghum). Its description in RNAcentral is "long non-coding RNA (SBIC_LNC005837)". The stretch from base 7580 to 7688 matches the Rfam family "MIR5565 microRNA precursor family". Lineage: Eukaryota; Viridiplantae; Streptophyta; Magnoliopsida; Poales; Poaceae. The record is from RNAcentral.